This 48121-nucleotide long non-coding RNA is filed under the name Sorghum bicolor (sorghum). RNAcentral's name for it is "long non-coding RNA (SBIC_LNC001063)". The stretch from base 3950 to 4056 matches the Rfam family "Plant small nucleolar RNA R71". Lineage: Eukaryota; Viridiplantae; Streptophyta; Magnoliopsida; Poales; Poaceae. The record is from RNAcentral.
AUCAGCUAUAGCUCUGGAGUUUUUGCAGAUUUUCAAAUAAAACUCAGAGAUUUCUUGUAUGAUUCUCUCAUAUCUCUCUUUUGUGGUAUUUCUGGAUCCUUACCAAGGCAGUGAUGGUAUAUGCCUUCUCUCAAUAUAUAUUGUAUUUGUGGUAUAAAGCAUAGUGACAUUGCCUUCUCUCUCAUCCUACUCUAAUAAGGCUUUAAUAUCUGGAGCUCAUAGGUGGGAGAUAAUGUAUACAUACUUACAAGACAUUUAUUGUAUAGUCAAACCAUGGAUCCAAAGAAACAAAUCAAUAAGUCAAAUCAAGAUGUGCAUGUGUGGCGAAUGAAUGGUGUAUGGUGAUGAUGGUGAUAACAAUGGUGAAAGUCUAAUUCUACUUUUGCUCUUUUGAGGGGAUACAUACCUUUCUUGCUCUUUUGAAACAUUUUGUGAGGAGAAUGAGAUGCUCUUCUUUUUUUCUUUUCUCUCAGGUGGGUAUCUUCUACCCCUAAUUCUACUGUCGAACACUUGUCCAUUUUUACCUCUCGUCUCACUUUUUUUUCUUCCGAGGUUCCGAGCACUUGCCCCUUUUUAUUUCCUCGUAUCUUUUUUCUCUUCUUUUUUUAGAGCACUGAUCUCUUGUGAUAAUAUAGCAAGUGGUAGUAACAAGAUAACUUGAGCAUUUAUUUCACAAGGGAAAAACAGAAAUGUUUUUGGCUAUUCUCUCCCGGAUUAGGAGUAGAAUAUUUUUGGGUGAUUCUGGAGAUGGAAAUGAGUGGAUAUAUGUGGAUGGUACUUCCGGAGUAGAAGUAGCAUGUGUGAGUGAACGUGCAAGUGAAUCUUGAUUUAACCACAUGACAAGGUCCUAAGGGUCUACACAGCUUGACCACACUCAAUGCUCAUAAGCAGUAAAAAGUAAAUGUGUGGCUCAAAGUCUAGCAAGCAUGUAUGUAUGGCUGUGGUAGGAAUUUAAACUCUCAUCAUACAGGAACUCAUCAUGCAAUAUUUUAAAGAUUUUAAAAGAUAAAAUUCUCCAGAAUUCUAGCAUCUCUAGGAACAGAUAAACAGCAGCUCAACCUUCCCAUAUCAUAUCCGUUAACAACUUAGACUUCACAUCAAGUUUUCUUCCCACAAGUUUAGGUUUAGAGCCAGCUUUAAAUUAUAACAGUUAUGUCUAAACUUGAGAGAGAACUUCAAAAUUUUAAAAUUAGGCAGAGCAACUAUUCAUCAUAUCCAUGCUAGAGUUUUAUUAUUAAGAUUCAGAUUAGCAUAGCCACUUUAUUUAUUUAUUUAACAACCUAAGCAAAAGAUAUAUAUAUAUAAGCACAAAAAUCUUUAUUUGGUUUUUCAUAGUUAUGUAUAUCUAUAUUUUAAUAUAGUAUAAGUAUAAAGAUAGAUAGAAAUACUUAGCGAGAUAAAUGGCUGUGCUUUCCCCCAAGCUGAAUUUUGACGUAAUUUCUCCUGAUGUAGCUAGCAGGUGGUAGAGGUGUAUUUGAAAGUCGGCAGUAUCUUGACAGCGAUUAGAAUGUCCUCCGUCUACUAGUAUUCUUGAUUCUUGAAUUCUGUGGAGCUCAAAUAGACAAUAAAGCUUUGUGGAACUGAUUUAGUGUUAGCAUAAAUAUCUAGCCUUCAUCAUGUUGAGACUCCUUAAUAAAUGUUACUCUCUAUUUUUAUAUUUUCAUUUUAUAAAGCAGAACAAAUAUUUAUUUUAUUUUUAUGCCACCACAGUGAAUGUACUUAUGGGUUUCAUGCAACUCGUAUACUCACAUGGGGCUUACUGUUUUUUAACAUUUUUAUUUUCUUUUUAGGAUAGUAUGAACAUGAUUAACUAAGCAAACUAUUUAAAAUAAUUGAAAGGAAAAGAUAACUACCAAGUUUACCUCUUGGCAAGGCGCUCGGUGUUUUUAAGUCUUCCGAACGGGACUCUCCGUUUUCUCAAUUGUCCUGAGAUUCGUUGGGUGGCGUAGUCGGUACUUUCGGUGGCGCCUCUUCUUCAUGUAUGGUUAUCUUCUCUUUCCACACCUGAAUCAGUGCUACGGUCUCCUCAGGAUAGUUCUGUUUAAACUGUAUGUCUUCUGACCUUACUACUUCUCCUUCAUAGUCUGCCCAUCCGUCUUUGAUGAUUUGCCUGCUCUGGUUGCGGUUGCGUCGUUUUCUGACCUGCUUAGAGUCUUCAACGAUAUAGUUAGGGUCAAUAAAAUAGCGGCGUACCUUCUCUGAGGGGAAGUGCAUAUGGACUUCUCCGGUUCCAAUGUAGAUGAUUGCUUUAACGGUGCUGAGGAACGGUCUUCCAAGGAUAAUGGAUGGAUCGUAUUCGUCUUCCCCUAUGUCAAUAACCUGAAAGUCUGUGUAGACAAAAUGAUCGUCUAUUUUGAGAGGGACAUCCGUUACUAUACCUUUAACCUCUUGAAAUGUCUGAUCUUCCAUCUGGAGCUGAAUGUAUGUUGGUUUUAGGGGCAUGGUUCCGAACAAGAGCCGAUAGGUGACUGCGGCCAUUAUGUUGACGCCCGAUUCGGUGUCGCAAGUCGUCUUGUAGAAGUUGUACCCAUUUAUGGAGCAGUAGAUGCUUGUCAUUCUUGGGUCGUCCUUCUUGGUCAGAAAUGGUGACAUAAGUCGAUGAUCUUGACCUCCUUGUACUGCAGUGACCAUCUUAGCUGACUCGGUCCACACUUGCUUGUUCCUGUUCCUCCUGUUGGUCCUCUUCCUUGAUUCACGUCUGGAUUGAUCUGGGAUUUGUGUAGUCUUGUUCUUGAAGGAAAAUGUCUCCUUCUUCCCUUUGAUGUAGAAACUGAUCUUGGCAGCACUAGCGUAGAUGACAGCUCCCGAGGUGUUUAAGAAUGGACUCCCUAAGAUGAUGGGUGCCCUCUUAUCAUUAUCGGUCUCUAUUACCACGAAGUCUGCUGGGGCGUAUAAGGUACUAACUCGGACACAAAGGUUCUUCAAUAUUCCUUUUGGAAAACUUAUUACCUGAUCUGCAAACUGCAAACACAUGGUUGUUUCUAAUAAAGGAUAUGUAAAGAAUUUUUCAUAGAGUACCUUGGGCAUAAUGUUGACGCUGGAGCCAAAGUCGCAGAGUGCUUCUAGGAAGUCCACCAUGCCGAUGGAGAUCGGGAUGACGAGGCGUCCUGGAUCGCCUCUCUUGACCGGCAGAAGGUCAGUAGUAACUUCAAUGACGGGGUUACUCCAGUAGUUACCUGCAUCAAACAUGUCUACAAGAUUUGCAGAUUCUAAUCCUUCCGGUUGUGAUGGUAUACCGGGGUUAGUAGCAGGAACAGCAGCAACUAUUUGAUUUAACUGAGAUUCAAUCAUCUUAUUAAAGCUAAUUUGAUUCAUGAUGGCAGUAGAGAAAUUAUCCAUUCUAUUAUUUAUAUUUUCUAGCAUUUUAUCAUUAGAUGCCAAUUUCUUAGAUAGGUUAUCCAUUAGCUUUCCUUGAUUAGAUACUAACUCUCUCAGAGGUGGAAAAUUAUUAGUAUUGUUGUAAGAAUUGUUACCUUGAUAAUUACCUGAGUAGUUAGGCCACUGUUGAUUCCAACCUUGAUUUUAUUGAGGACGGUAGUAGUAGUAGUAGUAGUAGUUGUUGUUGUUGAUGUAGUUCACAACCUCAAGCAUCUCAGGGCAGUGAUUGUCUGAGUGUCCAGUAUCUCCACACUCCUCACAAGUAAUGUGAGAGUCGUAGAUGUGCAUGACUUCUUUCUUAUCUCUAGCUCUAUCAUCGAGCUUCUUCAUGAGCAGGUCUAGCUUAGCAGACAGCAUGUCUACCUCCUUGAGCUGAUGCAUACCUCUACCUUUCUUGCGUGUCUGGGUCCUUUCUUCAUUCCAGCUUUGAUUGGAUGCCAUCUUCUCCACAAGGGCUAUGGAUUGUGGUAUGGUAAGUGAUAGGAAUGCUCCUCCAGCUGCAGCAUCCAUGGUCUCUCAGGCACUGUUGCCGAGGCCAUGAUAAAAUGUCUGCAUUAGUAGCCAACUCUCCAUUCCAUGACGGGGAUAUUCUAGGAUGUAGUCUUGGAAGCGCUCCCAUGCUUCUGGAGCAGAUACAUCAUGUUGUUGCUGAAAACUUGUAAUCUUCCCACGGAGAGCAUUGGUCUUGCCCAUGGGAAAGAACUUAGCCAGAAAGUUUGUUGAGCAGACUGCCCACAUAGUAUUCUUCUCCUUCGUAGCGUAAAACCACUGCUUCGCUCUUCCUAAUAGUGAGAAUGGGAAGAGGCGAAGUAGUAGAGCAUCUCUAGGGACUCCUGAUAUGGUGAAUGUGUUGCAAAUCUCUAGGAAGUGUUGGAGAUGAGCACUAGCAUCUUCGUGUGCCUUCCCACAGAACUGGUUGGAUUGCACCAUGUUGAUAAGUCCAGGCUUGAGCUCAAAGUUGCCAUCAAUCUCUACAGCAGGUCCAGUGCGGAUGUUAUCCAUAGUGGGAGCUGAGAACUCGUGGAUUGAGUUGUUUGCCAUGGCUUCGAACUCUGAAGACAAGUUCCGGUGAUGUUCUUGAUUAGUUGAAGCUUCUUGCUGAAGUGUUGAUGAUCUCUUCUUGAGCUUGGCUCUUGUUUUUUUGAAUAAUGCUUCGGGAUUGUCAACAAAAUUUCCUGGAAGAUGUCUUCUAUUCAUACAUUCCCCUGCAUAAGAUAAAAUAGAAAAAUAUCGAGGUAAAUCUGUAUGAGAGAAUUGAUAAGCUCAAUCAUAUUAUUGAUGCGAAUGAUAACUCAAAAUCCUAUAUCCAUUCAUGAUUAGUAAUCAACCUUCCCCGGCAACGGCGCCAAAAAUGCUUGUUGGGUAUUCUUAACAUUACUACCAAAAGUAGACUUAGUUUUCUAAUUCUGAUAACGGUGCCAAAAAUGUCAAACCUAUCCCUCAUACCACUUAAGCCAAGUUGUCAUCCCCAGCAUGACAUGAGAGACGCGGUAUUGAAAUAUGCAAUUGCUCUUCUAAAUAAAUAAUGAAUGGGAUUUGCAAGCGCACAGAUUAAUACCGAUGUAGCAUUUUUACUGGGAAGUAUUCCAGGUAUCGUUAUUUAUAUUUUUACCACUGGGAAGGGAUUAGUAACCAUCAAUAUUGAUUAUAGAAUGGAAUAUGAGAUUGAGUAUCUAUCAUUGCAUGUAUAAUUGAGAACAUUUAUCUAACUCUUUCAUACAGGGAUAAGUGUCACAUAAAGGAUAUAUAAAGUAAUGAAUAGUGACAAAGAUAAUUAAUCUGAUCAGCAUACUUAGCCACAUAAUAAAUAUGAUAAGCACCUCAAUUAGAUAUUCUAAAAAGUCAUUAGCAUGGUAUUAGAACAAACUACAAGAAUAUUUCCUAAGUUAUUCUCAACUAUACAUUCUAGCAUAUCAUAGUUAGUGCAAGUAUACUUAGCAAUCAUUGUGAGACAAGACUACGCCCAUGUAUAGUGAUAUUAGCAAGGUAAAUGAGAAAUAUAGCAAUCACUCCCCUAUAAUAAUAUUGCUCUGCCAGCCGAAUACACGAGAGGGGGACUAUAUAAGAAUCAAUGAAGCUGUCACUAUCACAAACUACCCCACGAUCUGGCAUAUUGGGUACAAUCGUAGAUAAAUACGGUAUAAGCACCACGCCUACAAAAUAUCAAUCAUUUACCCAUGGAUCCGAUGGAUAAACGCUAUACGAUCCUAAACAUGUAUAUAGAUCCAAUCUAACUAAGCCAAGUAUAUAACUAUGAUAAACUAAGAACAAUAUAAUCUUGAAUAUAAACAAGUAGAGCGAAGUCAUAAGCAAUAUAUUGAAGUAGAACAAAGUCAUAUUCAUAAUAUUGAAGAACAAAGAUGAACAAUUAGAAGAACAAUUAGAGAAUUACCAAGAAUCCUCUUGACAGAUCCGGAAACCAAUCGAAGAUUGACUCCUUCUAGUUCUAAUCCUAUGUACCUAUGCUAAUCUAGAUGUCUAAUUGAUGUGGUGGCUCUAGGCUUGAUCAGAGGCUUCUUCUCCCUUGAGGAAUAAUGAAUUAGGGUUGAGAGGCUCUCUCCUCUAGGGGCCAGGGGGGCUGGUAUUAUAGUCCCUUCAAGUGAAUAUGGGCCGUUGGAUCAAACCGACAUUGAUUGAACGGUUAUCCUUGAUCCUUUGGACUCCAGGAGGGGGCGGGCGCCCAGGGCCUGGCUCCGUUCGGCCUCCGCUUCCUUCCCGUGGCUUCUGGAGUCUUCUAGAUGUAAGAUAAUUGCGCGGCACGUUAAUAUCUCUAUGUAAUCCCGACGUGUGGGCCUUUCUUCCGUAUUUCCUGAUAACCCCCUGCAGAAAUAGACAAACACCAAAACUCGUGGAAUUCUGUCAGAUAAAACCCUAUGUCUGGAUGUUGAUUUCAUUUGGAUCCUUUUCUUUGUUUAUUUGUUAAUUAAAUUUGAUACUUAAGGACCGUCAAUAGUAUGCCAACACCCGACAUUUCUGGUGCCAUUGCUAAGGAUGGAUCUAUGGUCUAUUUUUAGUAGUGACGCUACGAAAUGCCAACAAGCAUUUCUGGCGCCGUUGCCGGGGAAGGCAAAAAUCAUACUGGCAUAAACAUUGAUUGCAUAAUAAGCAUUGGUAGCCAUAGAUUAAGCACGAUAACUUUACUAUUUUCUUCCUCUUUUUAUUGGAAUGAAAACAGGAUAGUGUAUGAGCGGUUUCAACUUGCCGACAAACUUCCACAGUGAUCCAGAAACACUCCUAAGCAAGAGAAGGGUUCGUACCAUCUCUUCUUCUGCUACGCAACCAGCGAGCGAAUCAACCGUUCAAGCACCAACCGCACCAAUCACUAUAGCCAAGACACUCCGUGACUACUCCACUCCUGUUGUUGCCAACGUGCCGACUGGGCCCGCUGUUAAUAUGGGGAAUGGAAGCUUCGAGAUCCGCACUGGCCUCACCUCUAUGGUGUAGGCGAGAAAAUUCUGUGGCCUGCCAAGCGAGGAUGCCAACGCCCACCUGCAGAACUUCCUUGAGUAGUGCGACACCGUCGUCAUCAAGGACGUCACGCGGAACAGCAUGAGGCUCCGUCUGUUUCCCUUUUCCCUCGCCGGAAAGGUGAAACAAUGGUUUUAUCAGAACAAGGAAGCUGUUGACACAUGGGAAAAGUGCUCCGCGGCAUUCCUCGCCAAAUUCUUCCGCAUGAGCAGGACCAGCGCUCUGAGGGGGAAGAUCUCUAACUUCCAGCAGUCUUCACUUGAGUCCAUACCCGAAGCAUGGGAGAGGCUCCAGGAGUACAUCUGGGCAUGUCCUCAUCAUGGAAUGGAAGACUGGCUUGUGCUCCAGAACUUCUACAAAGGCCUCAUGACCAUGUCAAAGGGGCACGUAGAUGCCACAGCUGGAGGUGCAUUCCUUUCUCUCACCAUUAAUGAAGCUACUGCCCUCAUCGAGAAGAUGGUGGCAAAUCAAAGCUGGGGAGAAGGAAGGAAAACACAAAAAGGCUCGCAAUUUGCGAAGGAGGCAGAUGUGCUUGCCGCAAAAAUAGACUUGCUGCUGCAAAGGAUGGACGGACAAGUUGCAAAUCCCAACAUGGGCACUGUCCAAGCAGUGAACUCACACACAUCGUGUGAAGUUUGUGGUGAUAAUGGCCAUUCGGGGAACAAUUGCCUCGAAACCCAAGAAGAAGCAGCAUAUGUCAACAAUGGGUUUCGGCCACCACAGCAAGGUAACAACGGGUGGAACAAUCAGCACCACCCGCAGGGUAAUUUCUUCAAUCAGCCUUCCUUGAAACAUCUAGUCAUAGGGCAAGCUAAAAUCAACGAGAAUCUGACCAAGAAGCUGUCCUACAAUGACAAGAUCAUUGAGAACAUCAAUGCCAAGCUUGAAACUCUUUGAUCAUCUGUCAAAAGUCAGACGAGUUUCAACAAGAUGAUGGAAACAGAGAUAGCAUAGAUAGCUGCAUCAAUUCUAGUCACUGACACAAAGAGGAUCCCAGGACAACCGGAAACCUCUACUAAGUUCGUCCAUGCAGCCACAGAAGAAUGAAGGAAGGAAAGUCUUGCCAACGGACUAUAAAUGUUGAGCCCUUGCCGAAGGCAUUUGGUAGUUAUCUAAAAAACUAUAUAUAAUAAAAAUAAAUUUUGUGCUAUUUGUGUCCCAAUAAAGAUAUCUGAAGGGGGGCCACGACAUCAAGCAAGCUUGGGGGAGGUGUCCCCACUCAGGUAUUAUGUAUUUUUAAAUUCUUUAAAUUUCGUUUUAAUUUCCCUUUUUAUAGAAAGUUUUUAUUUUUAGUUUCCAAAAGUUUCCCUUUCUAUAGUUUUACUUUUAGUUAAAAAUAAAGUUUCUCUGAAAAUCUUAUAAAAUUUAUUUUUUUGGUAGUAUAGAUUUUUCCAUUUCUAAAUCUUAUUUUUAUAUAAUUUUUGAAAACGAAAAAUAUUUUGAAUAAAUUUGUGGAAAAUCAAAAUCUGGAGCAAGAUUUCGAACCAAGUCUGAUCGUAACCAGAGAGACGUUUAGGGAGACCGUUGGAGCCAGCAGCCAAAAGGUCGGGCAGAGACGGGCCCACCACUGGUGCGGGCACACCAGGGUGCGGCCGCACCCUGCCCAAGGCCUGCUGGCCUCGGCCUUUGGGCAAUGACUAGUAGCCGUUGUGGGGGGUGCUCCCCCGCCUGCGAUCAACUCUUUAAAUAGAGAGGAUCCCGGGUGGAGCACAUCACCCCUCUCACACACAAUUUUUUACUCUUUCCUUCUUCACUCUCUUGCACCACUUUGCUUCAUAGCCUACUCCACAAACUUAGUGCAAGAAAAUUCUAUCAAAAACCUCUUGCACACUUCCCUCUCCAAGCAAAAACACCAUACACUUGUGCUAGCUCGUCCAAUAUGAAUAGAAUUUUCGGGCUUAGAAGGAGCCGCCGCCAACGCGGGGAAGAUCCACCAACCCCUGCAAGGAACGAGCAGCCGGCACAUGGAGGAGAGGAGGAGGAGCCACACGGCCACACCAUUGACGAGGCCGACGCCCCCUUCAUUGACUUGGAGAGCGAGCGGGAGAUGCAGGCAUACAACCUCAUGAAGGAACGCGAGUUCCGCCAUUCGCCGGCAUUCGACCCCGCAUUCUUGCACCAAAUAGGUAUGGAUGUUGAGUUUGAUACUAUUUUCGAGCAUCUUGGUUGGAGUAGAGUUGCCCCUGUUCAUGAGCUUGGGUCACGUAUUUUGAUGAUCCAAAUUUUGGGCACUCUACAAAUUGUCGAUUAUGGUAUUACCUUCCGUUGCUUUGGAAGAGAUUUCGGUAUUUAUUGGAAGGAUCUUGCCAACCGUUUGGGUUUCCACGAGCGGUGCUCCAUUGACUUAGGUUUCUCCCUCGGGGGUUACCAACGUCAUGCUUUUUGGCAUUUGAUCUCGGGGCAACACGUCGUUGGAAAGUUUCAGGGGCAUUCUGCCAACAUCCAUCACCCCACUCUGAGGCUUCUCCAUAGGUGGAUCACUAGUUUGUCCUUAUCAAGAGAUGAUACGCAUCUUACUUACGACACAGAGUUGAAGUUGCUUUAUGCUGCGCUCAAAAAGAUUAAGGUUGCACCUGUUGUUGAGCUUGUUAAUCAUUGGUUGCAUUCCAUUAAGACUUCAACUGCUAUCAUGUGCACAUCUUUUAUUACUCGCCUUGCUGCAAGUGUUGAUCCCCAUGCUGCUAAUACCAUUAUUUACAUCGCUACUCCUCGCAUCAUGAUUAAUGAAUCAUAUCUUUCGCAUGCACAUAUGAUUAAACACGAUGAAAUAGGUAAAAAGAUUUUAUAUUAUUUUCUGGGAUAUACAAACAAGAUCCAGUUACCUAACCCGGAUCUCGCUUUGUAUAAUUCCCCAUCACUCACCUUCACCCUCAUUGAGAGAGAAGGAGGACACAUGAGCUUUGUUUCUCGUAGGAACUCACGGAGGAGGGAACAAGAAGAGCAGGCAGAACAAGCAGCAAGGGCAGCACAGGCAGCACAACCAGCACCAUCCGCACAGCCAGCACAGCACACUCCACCACCAGCAAUGCCAGGGAUAGGAUGGACCCCUGCUAUACCUACACCCGGAUUUACCCCUGGGUACGGAUAUGGUAUGGGAUACGUUCCUCACCCCUACGAGGCUAGAGGUUUGUUGGGUAUUUUAAACGCAAACAGAAAAAUCCGCAAGCGCACGGAUACCGAUGUAGCUUUCACCCGGGAGUAUUCCAGAGUAAUGAUUUUCCACAGGGAACGUGAGUGUACUAAUUAAGAUUCAAGAUCGCCCAAGGAUAACUAUAUAAUUAUUUUUGGUGGGAAGAGAGGAAGUUUCCUGAGAGUACUCUAGUUGACCUACGAAUCAAGAAUUACUUCAAAGAUUAUUUAUUUCGGGACAUCAGAACACUAACCACAGAAAGAGAUGAGAAGUGGGCUAGGAAGCUCUGACUACGGUCCUACAAACACCGAUCCGAACGAGGUGGAAUACGUUGACCGUUAGGGCUGUCACUACCCUAGGGUUACCACAACAAUCCAUAGGAUUGGGUGCAAUUCUAGGUAAUUGCAAGACUAAACACCACGUCUAAUCUAUUAAUUACUACUCUAGCGUUUCAAAGACUAGAGCACUUGAUGCAAGCGAGAAUCCAAUAAAUAACUUGAAUGUAAAUAAAAGUAAUUAAAGAACUCAGAAAUUAUGAAUUGAAGAACUUGGAGAACGAUGAAGAACGAAGCAGUUGCUGCAAAAGUACAAUGUUGGGGAAGAUCCGACAGAUCCGGCUCCUCCUCCGCUCUCCUCUUCUCUCUCUCCCUGUUUUCUAGAUUACAACUAGAACUAACUAGAACUAGAACUAGAUGAACUAGAACUAGAACUAGAUGAACUAGAUGGAUCCUCUCUACUUGGAUGAAUAAUUGAAACCCUAGCUUUGAUUCUGUAGAAGAGGUAUGUCCUCUAGUGGCCAGGGGGCCUGCUUAUAUAGCCCCUCCAAAUGAACGUGGGCCGUCGGAUGAAACCGACCUUAAUCGCACGGUUUUCCUUGAUCCUCAAAGGAGGUGGAGCACAAUCCGCGAGACCUGCCCUCAUUGGUCACCAGGGCAGGGCGAGCGCCCAAGGGGGGAGGUCGGGCGCCCUGCCCCUGGGCCCGCUCGGCCUCCCGUUUGUUUCCAUGGCUUCUGGAGUUUUCUAGAUGAUAGAAAAUUAGCGCACACAUUAAUAUCUCUAUGUAAACCCGACGUGUGGGCCUUUCCUCCAUAUUUCCUGAUGACCCCCUGCAAAAAUAGACAAGCACCAAAACUCGUGGAAUUCUGUCAGAUGAAACCAUAAUUUUGGAUGUUGGUUGCAUAUAGGUCCUUUUCCAUGAUUAGUUGACGGUUAAAUGUGAGCAUUAAGGACCGUCAACAAGCUCCCCCAAGCUUAACCUUUGCUCAUCCCUGAGCAAAGCUUAAUCAGCAAUAAAAUAGGGGUCACUUUUAUGCCUUUUACUACAGGGUUUUUAAGUUAUCACUAAGGUCUUAAGUGAUUGAAAAACAAAACGAUCAAGUCAAGCACUAUGUCUCAAGUUCUUCUGUCUUACCUUUGUUCUGGAGUCUUUUUUGUAAGUUUCCAAAAUAAAACUGAGGCAUUUGCCUUCUUCUCGAAAGAUAUAUAAGGAGAGCUUUAAAAGUUUUAGCAUACUUACUUUGCAUUUUGCUAUGUCAAUGCUCGGAGCAAGGGAGAGGAAUGUCAUACUCCAAGAUCAAGACCUUUGACCUUUUUGAAAAGUUUGUCAUCUCUUACUGGCAUAUUGCUUAUUAGAGGGACCAUGGGCUAUCAUUUUUUCUUUCUUUUUUCAGUCUCUCUCUUUUUUUCUUUUCUUUUCAAGUGGGCACAAAGUACCCCUAAUUCUACUGUCGGACACGUGUCCAUUUUUCCACUCAGGUGGGUAUCUUUGUAACCCUAAUUCUACUUUGGACACUUGUCCAUUUUUACCUCUCGUCUCACUCUUUUUUUUGAACCAAAUUUUUGCAUAGUCCCAUGCCUCUAACGCAAUAAUACUUCGGAAGAGUGAAUCUUUUAUAUUUUUAAAACAAAAAGAUCUUGAUCUUUGGAGCAUGAUAAUUCUCUCAACCAAAACUACAAAAAUUAACAAUGGCUUGAACAAAGCAAGUGCUCACAGUUUUAAUAUUUAUAUCUUAUAAGACUCUAGGUAUUAUGUCAAACAGGAUCUCAUUUUUUUGAAUUUUUAGAUUUUCAAAAGAUAAAAUCUCCAGAACUUUAGCGAAACUUGGAACAAGUUAAAUAGUAGCUCAGACCUUCUCAUAUCAUGUUUGUCAAUUACCUAGACUUGGAUCAAACUUUAUUUUUAUUUUAUUUAAAACUUAGGAUUAAACAAAACUAUUGUAUAUUACUCAAAAGAAAAACUUUGUUUGGUUUCAUGGUUAUGCAUCUUUUAUUUAUUUAUUUCCGAAUACUAGUAAAUAAAACCAAGAAAGAAAAGUAAUACUUAUCUAGAUACACGUGGGGGUGCCUCCCCCAAGCUGGAUGUUGACAUAGUCGUUCACUCUUGUGGCCUACAUGUUCGGUCUCACUCUUCUUAAGCCUCAAAAUCCUGCACAACCCAAAUAGACAACAAAAGUCGUAGAGUAUGUUAAGGGUUAGGUAAUUGUCUAGAGCUUAUGAGAGCUUAAUGUGAGAAUUCUAUGAACUCAAUCACAUAAAGUUCCUCUACCAGGUUGUUUUGUGGCUCGAGAUAGAUUUUCAAGCGUUGACCAUUUACCAUAAAAGUGUUACUUAUGUCGUCUUGGAUGGUAAUGGCUCCAUGAGUUGAAGUGUCAACAACCUUGAAUGGUCCAUCCCACUUACUUCGUAGCUUACAAUGCCCAAAGAGCUUAACUCUUGAAUUGAAUAGUAGAACCUUAUCUCUAGGCUUAAACUCUUUGUGCUUGAUUCUCUUAUCAUGCCAUCGUUUUGUUCUCUCUUUAUAGAUCCUUGAAUUGUGGUAGGCUUUCUCUCUCCAUUCUUCUAGCUCAGAUAGUUGCAUCAGACGAUUCUCGCUAGCGAGGUGGAGAUCCAUGUUCCAUUUCUUGAGUGCCCAAUGAGCCUGAAACUCUACUUCCAUAGGCAAAUGACAAGUUUUUCCAUAUACAAGUUGAUAAGGCGACAUGCCUAUGGGUGUUUGAAUGCAGUUCUAUAUGCCCAAAGUGCAUCAGGAAGUUUGUCCUUCCACCCCUUACCCAUCUCAUCUACGGUCUUUUGUAAAAUAUUUUUGAUUUGUUUGUUAGAUGUUUCGGCUUGACCGCUAGUCUGAGGAUGGUAUGGUGUUGCGACGUUGUGUCGAACUCCAUGAUCGGCUAGGUACUUCUGGAAGAUUUUGUCGAUGAAGUGGGAAACUCCAUCGCUUAUAACUAUCUGGGGUAUACCAAAGCGAGGAAAGAUUACUUCAUGGAACAUUCUCUUGGCAUGUUUUGAAUCAGCUGAUCGACAAGGUAGGGCUUCUACCCAUUUGGACACGUAGUCCACAGCUACUAAGAUAUACUCGCAAUUCCCGGACAUAGGGAAUGGCCCCAUGAAAUCAAUGCCCCAUACAUCGAAAAGUUCUACUUGAAGAUUAUUUGUGAGAGGCAUUUCAUUUCUUGAGUUGAUAUUCCCAUGUUUUUUACAUCGGUGGCAUCUCCUGACAAAGUCCUUUGUAUCUUCAUACAUCGUUGGCCAAAAAAAACCACUUUGCCAAAUUUUAGCAUGUGUCCGGAAUGCUCCAUAGUGUCCUCCAUAUGGCGAGGCAUGGCAUCUUUCCAUAAUUUGAGUAGCCUCGGCCAUAGGAACACACCUUCUCAAGAGUCCAUCAGUGCAGACUCGGAAAAGAUAUGGCUCAUCCCAAAGGUGGAAACGACUAUCGUGAAGCAACUUCCUUUUGUUUGUACCAGGUGGGACAUAGCCUUUUACUAUAAAGUUUAUGAUGUCUGGUACCAUGGAUCUGCAUGUGUUAUCUUAAGCAGGGUGUCAUCCCUUGGGUAGUCAUUUAUGGGAAGCUCAUCAUGUGUUUCCUUAUAUUGAAGCCUAGACAAGUGGUCGGCUACGGAAUUCUCUACUCCCUUCCAAUCUCAGAUUUCUAUGUCAAAGUCUUGGAGUAGAAGAAUCCAUCGAAUUAGAUGAGGCUUAGCAUCUUUCUUAGUGAGGAGGUACUUGAGAGCAGCAUGGUCUGAAUAGAUGAUUAUCUUUGCCCCCACUAAGUAAGAUCUAAACUUGUCUAUAGCAAAGACAACAGCCAAAGGCUCUUUUUUAGUUGUAGUGUAAUUGAGCUGUGGUCCAGACAAGGUUUUGUUAGCGUAGGAUAUGGCAUAAUGCUUUUUAUCCUUGGUUUGUCCUAAAACGGCACCAACCGCAAAAUCGCUAGCAUCACACAUGAUCUCAAAAGGAAGAUUUCAAUCAGGUGGUUGGAUAAUCGGGGCUGAGAUGAGUGCUUUCUUAAGAGUUUGAAAAGAUUCAUUACACUCGUCACUAAAGAUGAAAGGUGCAUCAUUAGCUAGGAGACUAGUUAGGGGUCUAGCAAUUUGAGAGAAGUUCUUGAUAAAGCGUCUAUAGAACCCUGCAUGUCCCAAAAAGCUACGGAUUCCUUUCACAUUCGUGGGAGGUGGAAGUUUUUCAAUAACUUCAAUCUUUGCUUUGUCCACCUCUAUACCACAUUCGGACACUUUAUGUCCUAGCACUAUUCCUUCCUGAACCAUAAAAUGGGAUUUAUCCCAGUUUAGGAUUAAGUGCUUUUCUUCACAUCGCUGCAAGACUCUAUCUAAAUUCUCCAAACAAUGAUCGAUGGUUUUGCCAUACAUGGUAAAAUCAACCAUGAAAACCUCCAUGAUCUUCUCAAUCAUGUCCGAGAAAAUAGACAUCAUGCACCGUUGGAAAGAAGCUGGAGCAUUGCACAAUCCGAACGACAUUCGUCGGUAUGCAUAAGUUCCAUACGGGCAUGUAAAGCUAGUCUUUUCUUGGACAUAUGGGUGGACUGGGUGGAUUGGGAUUUGGUGAUAUCUGGAAUAACCAUCAAGGAAACAGAAGAAAGAGUGAUUUGCAAGCUCUUCCAACAUUUCAUCAAUGAAGGGUAACGUAAAGUGAUCUUUGUUUGUAGCCUUGUUGAGUUUUCGAUAGUCAAUACACAUACGCCACCCAGUGACAAUUUGUUGAGGGAUGAGUUUAUUCUUCUCAUUCCUAAUGACCGUCAUUCCUCCUUUCUUUGGCACUACUUGGAUAGGGCUAACCCACUCACUAUGUGGCACAGGAUAAAUAAUCCCAGCAUGAUAGAGUUUGAUGACCUCUUUCUUAACAACCUCUCACAUAGCAUUGUUAAGUCUCCGUUGUGGUUCCCUUGAAGGUGUAAAAUUGGGAUCAAUAGGGAUACGAUGAGUGCAGAGAAUGGGACUAAUGCCCGUGAGAUCUUGGAGAGAGUAGCCAAAUGCUGAUCUAUGCCUUUCAAGAACAGUGACAAGUUGUUGUGUUUCAUAAUCGAAAAGCUUGUCACUGAUAAAUACUGGAGUUUUUGGGUUGUUGUGCAAAAAGACAUAUCUAAGGCCAAAAGGAAGAGGUUUUAACUCUAUCGAAGGAGGUGAAGGUUGUUCAUUUUUGUCUAGCUCAACGGGUUCUACCAACUCUUCUUCUUCUUGAACAAAGUGUUCAUGAUUAAAGAAUGGUUGCGCCAUCUCCUCUUGAGUUAGCAUUAAGAUCUCCUCAAUAGGAUCUGGUUCAAGUUUGGGUUCCACUAUCAUGUUAAUUGAUCUAGCAAGAGGAAUAACAAUAGUGGAAUUCCCAACCUUGAAGUCUAAGUGACCUCGUUGUGGUUGUUCUUGUAGGAGUUUCAUGAUUGGUCUGCCAAUCAAGACAAAAAUCUCCGAUAUGUCAAAAAUGUGAAAAUCUAGACAUAUUCCAGAGUCCUUGAUUCUAACAAGAACAGCCCUUAAUACCCCAUGGCUUUCUAGAAUUAAUCCAGAUGGACUUUGUAAAAGUUUUUGAGAUGGAGUUAUGGACUCGUUGGGAUAAAGAGUGUCAACUAACUCCUUGGAAAUAACAUUUAUCCCAACAUAUGGAUUGUAGUGGCCCUUCAUAGCGGACCCUCUAAUCUGGCAUAGAAGAAUGGUUGAAGAAGUGAAGAUCCGAACUACCUAAAGAGACAGCUCUGCUUCUGUUAGCCAUUCAUAACUCAGAAUAGCCGAAAGGCUUUUGAUGUGUUAUAUGUCAACAGAUUCUACUCUUAGAAUGGAUUGAGUGGUCCCUGCUAGAGGACGUGUUUGGAUAGGAAAAUUAGAGGUGUUUCCAUAAUCUUCAAAAAGAUCUUCCUCGAAUUCAAAGGGAUGCUCUAAAGAUGGUGGUGUUGACGGUCCUUAAGUACUAAAAUUCAUAAUCAAAUAAACAUGGAAAAGGAUCAAUAUGAAACAAACAUCUAGAAUUAGGGUUUUAUCUGACAGAAUUCCACGAGCUUUGGUGUUUAUCUAUUUCUGUAGGGGGUUAUUAGGAAUUAUGGAGAGAAGGCCCACAUGUCAUGUUUACAACGAGAUAAUUACGUACCGCGCAAUUUUCCUCAAUCUAGAAGGGUCCAGAAGCCACGGGAACGAACGAGAAGGGAAUCGGGCUCGGGGGCAGGGCGCCCGCCCACCCCCCUUGGGCGCCCGCCCUAGCCAGGAGUUGGAUCAGGACUCUGCUUCGGGACUACGCUCCACCGACCUAAAGGAUCAAUCUAAACCAUACAAUCUAUGUCGGUUUGAUCCAAUGGCUCACGUUCACUUGAGGGGACUAUAAAACCAGACCCCCUGGCCCCUGGAGGAGAGGAGGAGAAGUCAUUAUUCAGAGGUAGCCAUCAAAGUUAGGGUUUAGAGCUUCUCUCCCACAGAGAAUUAGAAUUAGCUACUAUCUAAUCCUUCAAGUUUAGAGGUUUGAUUAGAUAGCAAUUAGAGAAGUAGAGCACUACGCUCUGGAUUCGGAUCUUCGGUAAUAAAGAUUGGUAUUAUUCAUAUCUUUCUCUAAUUCUUUGUUCUAAUUGCAUUAUGUCUCUAAUUAUUAUGUUCUUAGUUUGUUCUAGUUCUAUAUUUGAUAUAGUUCUAAUUGAUAAUGAGUUUAUGUAUAAGUUUGCAACGCGCUUAGCUCUUGACGCGAGGGAGUUAGGUGAUAGAUCACAUGUGAGCGUGGUGCUUAGAUGUUAUUUAUCUGCAAAUGUAUCCUAUUGGCCGGGUCGUGUGGUAGUUCGCGAUAGUGACAGCUUCGUUGAUUCUUAUAUAGUCCACCUCAGCUCUGAUUUACUUUAUCAAUGUUCCUUAUACAUGAAUAAAGAGUCUUUUAUGCUAUAUAUGAUCUUGUAGAUAACUAGAGUAGAUUAUGACUUAGUAGUUAGUAGAUAACUUAGAAUCUAUUCUCUAGCUAAUCCGACAUCACCUACAUAUAUGAGGAGUAGUCUAUUUUCUAAUCGCUGUGUUAUCUACCCAUGAACUUAUACUUUAUUGUCAUUAUCUUUAUGGUUUACCCCCUGCUAAAGUAAGUGACUGUGUGACGAGUUUCUCAUUAGUAAUCAUGUUCUUGCAAGUUUAUCGCUAGUCUAUGCCUUGAUAGAUUUUGCCCCCUUGAUUUAAUUUCAUCUUCUUUAGAUCCCUUGAGCAAAAUUAUAAAUAACGAUACCUGGAAUACUUAUCCUGGUGAAAUGCUACAAUGAGGUGUUUUAUCUGUGCGCUUGCGGAUAGAAUAGAUUAUUUUCUAGAGAGCCCUUUACAUUUAUAAAUACCUUUGUACACUCUGGCACCAUGCUGGGGAUGACAACCUAGUAUCUAAGUGGUGUUAGCUAGUGUCAACAAACAUUUCUGGCGCCGUUGCCGGGGAAUUAUACGAGUCUCAGGAAUAAGUCAUAAAGAGGAACGGUAAGGGAGGCUAGAAAAUCAAUCAAGGUUAUUCACAUAAAAUAUUAGACUAGACUAUAGAGAAAUAAUUGCAUAAAAACAGCUACUAAGUGAGAAAUCAUAACAAGGCACCUCUGCUUUGGCAGUUUCACCCUGUUGUUUUCUAUGUUUAUAUUUUUAUACAGGGUAUAUCAGGAUUGACUUUGGGUACAUUCAACUCUUCAUCAUCAGAACCAAAGCAAUCAAGAGAAGAAGAAGCUAGCUACCAAUUGCUGAAGCUAUGGCACAAAAGACCUUGCAAGAAUUCUCUGCUCCAAGUCUUGAGAACAUUCCAACUGGUCCAAGAUUUGCAGUAGAAGAAGGAAUACCCGAGUUUGAGCUCAGGUCAAGCCUCAUCAAUUUGGUGCAAGCUACACAAUUCAGUGGAAAGGCACAUGAAGAUGCUAGUGCACACUUGCAGAAUUUCUUAGAGAUUGGAAGCACAAUCCACAUCAACGGAGUUGACAAAGACGUCAUACUACUUCGCCUUUUUCCAUUCUCACUAGAAGGGAAAGCGAGGAAGUGGUUCUACACUCAUCAAGAUAACAUCAACAACUGGACGAACUUGUCACAUGCCUUUCUAUCAAAGUUUUUCCCUAUAGGCAAAACAACUGCCUAAAGAGGAAAUAUUGUCAGUUUCCAACAACAGAAGACAGAAGCCAUUUCAGAAGCAUGGGAGCGUUUUCAAGGAUACACAUCAGAUUGUCCUCACCAUGGAAUGGCCACAUGGUUACUUAUGCGGACCUUCUACCAUGGAUUAACCCAGAAGGCUCGUGAGUGCCUAGAUGCAUCUGCUAAAGGAUUAUUCGUGGAGCUUACAACUGGAAAAGCAGAGAUACUUUUGGAUAAGAUAGCAGAAAACCAAAGCUGGUUCCAAGAUAAAGCUCAACACUGUCAUCAAACUGAAGAAAUACCAGAAGAAGUAAAUGCAUUAUCAACAAAGAUGGAAAAUUUGCUCCAUUGGAUUGACCAGAGGGCCAAGUUCAAAGAAGAUCAAAGGGCCAUUGAGGCAGCAUACAAAUAUCAACCAACUUCAAGUCAACCCAAUAGCAAAGGUAUGAAUUCAGGUAAUACUUUUAAGCAACUUUCAUUAAAAGAGAUAAUUGCUCAACAAACCAAAAUUAAUGAUGAAGUUAAACAAAGGCUAGAUACAAAUGAAUCAUCUCUAAAAGAUAUACACAAUAAAAUGGAUUUUCUACUAACUGCCUUUGAUGAGCAAAACACUCUUAAUAAAAGGGUAGAGCUUAAAUUAAUAAAGAUAGCUGCUGCACUGCCUGUUGCUACUAACAUUGAGCAGGUAAAGAAUAUAACUACUAGAGGAGGCAAAGCUACCAGAGAUCCCCCAUACCCAAAAGAGAAACAAAGAACAUCAGCACCAGUGCAACCAGCAGUGAUAGAAGAAGAAAGCCCAGUUGAAGCAGAAGAUCUGCUACAACCACCAAGAACUAGAGAAAUGAGGAAAGAUUUUUACGACACCAACUAUUUGCCAUUUCCCAGAAGAAACAGAGGACUGCAGUCGGAUGAGCAGUUUGGUAAGUUUGUAGAGGUCAUUCAGAAAUUAUAUGUCAACAUACCUCAGCUCGAUGCCAUACAGGUACCUACAUAUGCAAAGUACAUCAGAGAUAUUCUUAACAAGAAGAGACCACUGCCCUCCACUGAGGUUAUCAAGCUGACAGAAGAAUGUAGUGCGGCCAUCCUUAACAAACCACCAAAGAAGAAGGAAGAUCCAGGAUGUGCCACUAUUGAUUGCUCGAUCGGAAACCAACACUUCAACAAUGCACUUUGUGAUCUCGGAGCAAGUGUCAGUGCGAUGCCAGCAUCAGUCUACAAAAAGCUUGAUCAUGCGACCCUAGAACCAACAUCAAUGUGCCUGCAACUAGCGGAUCAAUCGGUUCGACACCCGUUGGGCAUCGCCGAGAACAUUCCAGUCAAUAUCAGAGAUUUCCUGGUGCUAGUAGACUUCGUAGUACUGGACAUGAGUCCUCACUCAAAAGUGUCCAUCAACCUUGGAAGGCCAUUUCUGAGCACUGCCAAUGCCCACAUUGAUGUCAGAAAAGGAGAAAUCAAGUUCAACAUAAACGGUCAAGAAGAACACUUCACAUUCAAACCCAGACCAGAGAGAGACUCUACAGUAAAGGAAGUUCAUGAAGAACCACUGGAGACACCAUCUCCGGAGGAAGGUAACUCAGAAGAUUAAAAGAUUUGGAGGUCCAGCUUGGGGGACCUAAAAAUCCCAAACCCUCACCGGGAGGUAAAUCGGUAUUUAUUCGCAUUAUUAAUUUUCUCAUGUUUAAAUUCUUGCAUAAUUAAUUCUUGCAUUAGCCGUAUAUAUUCAUAGCAUAAUUAUAAUAAUCAAAAAGCCCCAUAUAAAUAAUAUUCGUGGUGUGUAAGAACCCAUAUUUAUUAAUUAUUGUGGAGGCACAAAAAUAUCUUCCAUUAUCAUUUUAAUUAAGUUUCAAUUUUCAUAGAUUUUUCCUGCAUUAUAAUUAAUUAUAUUAACCUUCUAGAAGCAUGACCCACACUUCUUGGGUCCCACAUGUCAUACACUUCACCUCACAUACAUCCCAUCACAUAAUUUCAUCCACCAACAUAUCUUUACUAACAACAUCUUUUCACCGCCCUGUCCCUCUUCCUCCUAUAAAACGCCAACUCCAACUCCCCUUCUCUUCACACAAACACUCCAGAAAACCAUACAAGUUUCAGUUUCCCGAGAAGGAGCUCUUGUAGUGAAGAGAAGAAAGUAGAGAGAAAGAGGAGAGUGGAAGGGAAGGUUGGAGAUCUUUUGAGAGAGUGUUUAUCACCUAGCAAGUAGUGAUCCCGUUGUCCAAGCGGAAGUAAAAGUUGUUUAGGGGGAGGCUCUACCAAAAUAGAAACUUGUCUUGAACGAUUAACCCCUGGACUACUGAUAUUCCGGAUAGCUGACCACUAACAUUUUCUCUCACAAAUUUCCACUAGUUGUGUUUUUUCCAACUUUUGUUUGCAGGAUGUUUAAGAAGGUGAAGAAUGCAGGGAAUGCUCUCAAGAACAUUGGUACAAGGAGUUCAGCCCGACACUCCUCACAGCCAUCAGAGAUGAGCGUCGACCCGACACCCACACAAGCUCCAUCAUCUUCAUCAGGUCAGCAAGUCAAGGUCCUUCUCAAGAUAGGAGACCUUGGACUGAAGACCCGAAGAGAGAAGGAAGUCUAUCAGCAAUUGAGGAACAAAGAUUUCAUUCACACCCCUACUCUCGAUCCAAUCCUACUACAAGAAACAGGUAUGGACACUGAAUUCGACUUGAUUUUCAGAUGAUGGGUUGGACAAAUUUUUGGAAUAUAACUGAGUUGGGUUCUCGUCUUCUCACCCUCGAACUUCUUUGCACUUUACAAUACUAUGAAGGGUGAAUUGUUUUUCGGAUGUUCAAACAGGAAAUUAUGUUAUCUUGGAGAGAGCUGAGCGACCAUCUUGGUUUCUCUUCAAGAUGCAUCCUGAACAUUUACUCCGAUUUACCCAACUUUGAGAGACACCAGUUUUGGAGAGAAAUAUCUAGAGAUAAUUUUUAUAGUCAAGCCCGAACCAGUGACAUGGAACACCCCACAAAUAGGAUGUUCCACAAAUGGCUUGGGUACAAUCUUUUCUAUCGCGAUGAUAUUAGGAAAGUAAGAGUAGGAGAUUUACAACUUUUAUAUGCUGCUAUUAGUAAAGUACCCACUUCACCUGUUACACUAUUAGUUUCACAUUGGCUUAGUAUACCUAGUCUUCAGGGACCAGUAGGAUGUACUUCACUUAUCACUCGUCUAGCCUCUAAUCUUCACUUACUAGAAAAUUCAUCGUUGGACUUUAUAGAAGAAUUAAGAAUUUAUCAUGGCUAUGACACAUUUAGACAAGCUCGGAUGUUAAAGAAAGAGGGGAAUAUAAUGUAUAUGCUAUAUGAUGAUAAAGGCAAGAUUCGGUUACCUAACCCGAACCUUGGCCUCUACGUUGUUCAAAACUUUUUGAUUAAGAUUGCAGCAACACCAGUGAACCAGAGAACUCCACAGCGAGUGGCAUCUGAAAGGAUAACCACUCACCGAGAACGCACCUGGUAUGGAGCUGAUCCCGGACCAGAAGAAGCAGCACACCUGCAUUAUUGCGAUUACAACCCUCGAGUCCUUCGAGACUCAUGGGUUCGUCAUGCGCAACCACAAGAGCCAACAGAGGAGACAUGGCCGGAGAGCCAAGAUCACCAGUGGACAAACCCGCCUUUUCAUACGGGCAGGUACUCCACUGAUCUAUAUGGAGCUUCAGGACCCAGACCUCCGCUCCAAUUUGAUGCAGGACGAUACUCCGACGCCUCCUACGCUUUCACGAAUGACUACUAUCAAGAGGCCGGUGCUUUCUUUACUCGUACCGACAACACCCUCCUCGACAUCCAGAACACGCAAGCAGAACAUGGAAGACUCCUGGAAGAGCAACAAAAAUGGAACCAAGACCAUGCCGCUGCAGUGCAAGAGCUGAGACAAGAUACAACAACAAUGAACGACAACAUCACAACCAUGAUGCGGUUCUGGAACAUCGGGUAAGACCGACAGCAACAUCCAGCUUGGGGGAGUUUCUCGCUAAUUUAUCAAGUAAGUUUUUAUUUGCUCUUCUAAUUUAUUCUAUUCUGUCUUAGUAUUUAAUUUAUCUUAAAAAGGAAAAAACUUAGAAAACCUAAUAAAUAUUUUCUUGCUUUAAUUUACUGCAUUUUAUAAACAUGAAAACAAAAUAAAAAGAGUGUGUAGAUAAGUGUGCUUUAUUUAUCUGCUAAGUCUUAAUCUCUAAAAAAUUAAAAAGACCAAAAAGAUACAUGAUGGAAAUGAUGAACCGUUGCUCUGUUUGCUUACCUACAAGUACCUAGCUUUUAUAUUAGAGUUCUUCCAGAAAUUACUAAAACUGAAACUUACUAUCUUUGGGAAGCAUAAAACUAAAGUCUAGGUAAGAGAAAGGCAUGAUAUAAAGUUGAGCUGCUAUUUAUCUUGUUCCUACUACACUAAGUUCUGGAGAUUUAUUUUGAAAACUUACAAGUCACAUGAUGAGUUCCUAGCAUAACAAACUACCUACCACAACCAUACUUGCUAUAACAUUUUUUUUACUAUAUUUACAUUGAGUUUGAUCGAGCUGUGUAGACCCUGAGGAGCUUUUCAUGUGGUUAAAUUAAGAUAUUCACUUGCACACAUCUACUACACCAUUCAUCAUCAUUCAUUUAAAUUGCUAAAAAUAUUAUCACUCACUGUCCUGAAUAUUGUUAUUCUCUCUCUCUAAAAAGAUUCAAUGCAGAAGAGGCAUGGGUUAUGCAAAAAUAUACGAGGAAAUAAAAAGGGGCAAGUGCCCGAAACCUCGAAAAAGAAAGAAAAAGAGUGAGACGAGAGGUAAAAAUGGACAAGUGUCCGAAGUAGAAUUAGGGGUACAAAGAUGCCCACUUGAGCGGAAAAAAAUGGACAAGUGUCCGACGGUAGAAUUAGGGGUAUCUACUAACCACCUGAAAAAAAAAGAAAGAGAUAGCCCAUGUUCUCCCAAAGCAAAGAUCAAAGGAGAGAUAGCAAUAUGAGGAGCAAUGAGAACCAAGUUUCAUUAUCACUUAUACAUUUUUAUCAUCACUAUCAUUUACUCCAUCACACAUGCACAUCUUGAUUUAAUUAUAUGCUGAGUUCCUUUGGAUCCAUGGCUCGAUUAGACAACAUAUGUAUGAGCUGUUUUCACUCCUAUGAGCUCCACUUAAAUAUUCCAUUAGCUAUAGGUAAGUGAUAUCAUGGUAAGGAUCCACAAAUACCACAUAUAGAGAGACUUGAGAGAAUCAUUGCUGGGAACUCUGAGUUUUAUUUUGAAAACUUAUAAAAAACUCUAGAACAAAAGUGAAGUAUAAACAGGAGGGAUAGUGCUUGAAUUAACUAUUUUAUCUUUCGAUUACUUAAGAUUUAAAUUGAGGUACUAAACUCCAUAACACUUCACUCUAAUCUGGAAGAAUUUUUAUGUAAAAGCAUGUGUGCCUGUCAGGAAAGAAAACAUCGAAGCAACUCUUGAUCUGUCUGAGUUUAGCUAUUUGCUCAAGGACGAGCAAAGGGUAAGCUUGGGGGAGUUUGUUGACGGUCCUUAAGUACUAAAAUUAAUAAUCAAAUAAACAUGGAAAAGGAUUAAUAUGAAACAAACAUCUAGAAUUAGGGUUUUAUCUGACAGAAUUCCACGAGCUUUGGUGUUUAUCUAUUUCUGCAGGGGGUUAUCAGGAAUUAUGGAGAGAAGGCCCACAUGUCAUGUUUACAACGAGAUAAUUAUGUACCGCGCAAUUUUCCUCAAUCUAGAAGGGUCCAGAAGCCACGGGAACGAACGAGAAGGGAAUCAGGCUCGGGGGCAGGGCGCCCGCCCACCCCCCUUGGGCGCCCGCCCUGGCCAGGAGUUGGAUCAGGACUCUGCUUCGGGACUACGCUCCACCGACCUAAAGGAUCAAUCUAAACCAUACAAUCUAUGUCGGUUUGAUCCAAUGGCUCACGUUCACUUGAGGGGACUAUAAAACCAGACCCCCUGGCCCGUGGAGGAGAGGAGGAGAAAUCAUUAUUCAGUGGUAGCCAUCAAAGUUAGGGUUUAGAGCUUCUCUCCCACAGAGAAUUAGAAUUAGCUACUCCCUAAUCCUUCAAGUUUUGAGGUUUGAUUAGAUAGCAAUUAGAGAAGUAGAGCACUACGCUCUGGAUUCGGAUCUUCGGUAAUAAAGAUUGGUAUUAUUCAUAUCUUUCUCUAAUUCUUUGUUCUAAUUGCAUUAUGUCUCUAAUUAUUAUGUUCUUAGUUUGUUCUAGUUCUAUAUUUGAUAUAGUUCUAAUUGAUAAUGAGUUUAUGUAUAAGUUUGCAAAGCGCUUAGCUCUUGACGCGAGGGAGUUAGGUGAUAGAUCACCUGUGAGCGUGGUGCUUAGAUGUUAUUUAUCUGCAAAUGUAUCCUAUUGGCCGGGUCGUGUGGUAGUUCGCGAUAGUGAUAGCUUCAUUGAUUCUUAUAUAGUCCACCCUCCGUUGAUAGGACAGGCAGAACCGAUAUUGUGGAGUAAGUCAUGCGAUGCUCUGAUUUACUUUAUCAAUGUUCCUUAUACAUGAAUAAAAAGUCUUUUAUGCUAUAUAUGAUCUUGUAGAUAACUAGAGUAGAUUAUGACUUAGUAGUUAGUAGAUAACUUAGAAUCCAUUCUCUAGCUAAUCCGACAUCACCUACAUAUAUGAGGAGUAGUCUAUUUUCUAAUCGCUGUGUUAUCUACCCAUGAACUUAUACUUUAUUAUCAUUAUCUUUAUGGUUUACCCCCUGCUAAUGUAAGUGACUGUGUGACGAGUUUCUCAUUAGUAAUCGUGUUCUUGCAAGUUUAUCUCUAGUCUAUGCCUUGAUAGAUUUUGCCCUCUUGAUUUAAUUUCAUCUUCUUUAGAUCCCUUGAGCAAAAUUAUAAAUAACGAUACCUGGAAUACUUAUCCUGGUGAAAUGCUACAAUGAGGUGUUUUAUCUGUGUGCUUGCGGAUAGAAUAGAUUAUUUUCUAGAGAGCCCUUUACAUUUAUAAAUACCUUUGUACACUCUGACACCAUGCUGGGGAUGACAACCUAGUAUCUAAGUGGUGUUAGCUAGUGUCAACAGGUGGUUCAUCAUCACUUAGUUGAUUUUGCAUUCCCUUAUCAGGAGGUUUCUCUACAACCAAAUUAAUAGAUGGGUCAGGUGGAAUUUCUAACUCGGUUGCAAGUUCCUCGUCUUUUGGUUUAGGAUCAGGCUCGACUUCUUUUUCUUGUUCAGGAAACUCAUCAUAAAUGCUUGUGUAAGGGGUAUUUUCAAGGAUUCUCUAUAGGAUAGCUCUCCCCUCAUCUAUGACUUUGUGUGCGAAUGAGCAUCUUGAAGCAAUGUCGAGGUGAAGAGCAGCUUCCUUGUUUAGACCACGAUAAAAGUGGUAGUACAGUACAUGGUCAGGCAGGGAAAGGUUUGGACCAGAAUUUGUAAGGCUUGUGAACCUAGCCCAACCUGCUCCUAAAGUUUCCUUCUCUCUUUGUUGAAUGUAAGAAUUUCAAUUCUAAGGUCAGCGAUUCGAAAAAGUGGGAAGAAAGCGAGACUAAAGUUGUCCCGAAGUUCAUCCCAAUUUCCAUUAACGCCUCCUAUAGAAUGAGCAUACCAUUUUUUUGCCCUUCCCAAAAGGGAGAACGGAAAUAAUUUCCAUAUAAUUUCCAUUUAAGGGUUUCUUGUGUCAUGCCGGAAAUAGAUCGGCAAGAGCACAACUGCUCGAAUUCUCUAAGGUGUGUGUAUGGAUCUUCAUCUACUUGCCCAGAGAAGGGUUGCUCCUUAAUCAUGGCUAUUAGAUCAGGCUUGUCGUAGCCAUCUGUGAGAAUUGGAUGUGAUGAUGGUGGUGGCUCUAAUAACUCGCCCUUUGGAACAAAUAAUUUAUAGAUAGGAGUGAAAUCCAUGUGGUAUGGUGAAAAUAGUAAGGUGAGUGUGGUAAAAAAGGAAAAAAGAUACACGGACGACUUGGUUCGAAACUAGCACAGCUACCGUUCCCCGGCAACGGCGCCAGAAAGCUUGUUGGGUAUUUUAAACGCAAACAGAAAAAUCCGCAAGCGCACGGAUAUCGAUGUAGUUUUCACCCAGGAGUAUUCCAGAGUAUCGAUUUUCGACAGGGAACGUUAGUGUAUUAAUUAAGAUUCAAGAUCUCCCAAGGAUAACUAUAUAAUUAUUUUUGGUGGGUGUUGACGGUCCUUAAGUGCUAAAUUUAACCAUCAACUAAACAUUGAAAAGGAUCAAUAUGCACCAAACAUCUAGAAUCAGGGUUUUAUCUGACAGAAUUCCAUGAGCUUUGGUGUUUGUCUAUUUCUACAGAGGGUUAUCAGAAAAUAUGGGGAGAAGGCCCACAUGUCAUGCUUACAAUGAGAUAAUUACGUGCCGCACAAUUUUCCUUAAUCUAGAAGAGUCCAGAAGCCACGGGAACAAACGGGAGACCGGACGGGCUCGGGGGCAGGACACCCGCCCUCCCCCCUUGGGCGCCCGCCCUGGCCUCGGGGCCAAUCACAACCAACCUCGUGGAUUAUGCUCCACCGACCUAAAGGAUCAAGGAAAAUCGUGCGAUCAGUGUCGGUUUGAUCCGACGGCCCAGAUUCACUUGAGGGGACUAUAUAAGCAAGGCCUCUCCACCCCAGGGGGAGAGAGGAGAAAUCAUUAUCAGAGGAAGCCAUCGAAGUUAGGGUUUUAGAACUUCUCUCCCACAGAGAAUUAGAAUUAGCUACUCCCUAAUCCUUCAAUUUCUAUAGGGUUGAUUAGAUAGAAUUAGAGAACUAGAGCACUACGCUCUGGAUUCGGAUCUUCUUUAUUAAAGAUUGGUAUUAUUUCAUAUCUUUCUCUACUACUUUAUUCUAAUUGCAUUAUGUCUCUAUUUGUUAUGAUCUUAGUUUUCUCUAGUUCUAUAUUUGAUAUAGUUAUGAUUGAUAAUGAGUUUAUGUAUAAGUUUGUAAAGCACUUAGGUCUUGACGCGCGGGAGUUAGGUGGUAGAUCACAUGUGGGCGUGGUGCUUAGAUGUUAUUUACCUGCAAAUGUAUCCUAUUGGCCAGGUCGUGUGGUAGUUCGCGAUAGUGACAGCUUCGUUGAUUCUUAUAUAGUCCACCCUCCGUUGAUAGGACAGGCAUAAUUUGUAUUGCGGAGUAAGUCUUGCGAUGCUCUGAUUUACUUUAGCAAUGUUCUUUAUACAUGAAUGAAGAGUCUUUUAUGUUAUAUAUGAUCUUGUAGAUAACUAGAGUAGAUUGUGAAAUAGUAGAUAGUAGAUAACUUAGAAUCCAUUCUCUAGCUAAUCCGACGUCACCUUACAUAUAUGAGGAGUAGUCUAUUUUCUAAUCGCUGUGUUAUUUACCCAUGAGCUUAUAUUUCAUUAUCAUUAUUAUUAUGGCUUACCCCCUGCCAAAAUAAGUGAUUGUGUGACGAGUUCCUCAUUAGUAAUCUUGUUCUUGCAAGUUUAUCUCUAGUCUAUGCCCUGAUAGAUUUUAUCCUUAUCUUCAUUUCCACUGUCCUCUUAAGCAAAAUUAUAAGUAACGAUACCUGGAAUACUUUCCUGGUGAAAUGCUACAAUGAGUUGUUUUAUCUGUGCGCUUGUGGAUAGAAUAGAUUAUUUUCUAGAGAGCUUUUACAUUCAUAAAUACCUUUGCACACUCUGGCACCAUGCUGGGGAUGACAACCUAGUAUCUAAGUGGUGUUAGUCAGUGUCAACAGUGGGAAGAGAGGAAGUUUCCUAAGAGUUCUCUAGUUGAUCUAAGAAUCAAGAAUUACUUCAAAGAUUAUUUAUUUCGGGACAUCAGAACACUAACCACAGAAAGAGAUGAGAAGGGGGCUAGGAAGCUCUGACUACGGUCCUACAAACACCGAUCCGAACGAGGUGGAAUACGUCGACCGUUAGGGCUGUCACUACCCUAGGGUUACCACAACAAUCCAUAGGAUUGGGUGCAAUUCUAGGUAAUUGCAAGACUAAACACCACGUCUAAUCUAUUAAUUACUACUCUAGCGUUUCAAAGACUAGAGCACUUGAUGCAAGCAGGAAUCCAAUAAAUAACUUGAAUGUAAUUAAAAGUAAUUAAAGAACUCAGGAAUUAUGAAUUGAAGAACUUGGAGAACGAUGAAGAACGAACCAGUUGCUACAAAAGUACAAUAUUGAGGAAGAUCCGAUACAUCCGGCUCCUCCUCCGCUCUCCUAUUCUCUCUCCCUACUUUCUAGAUUACAACUAGAACUAACUAGAACUAGAACUAGAACUAGAUGAACUAGAACUAGAACUAGAUGAACUAGAGGGAUCCUCUCUACUUGGAUGAAUAAUUGAAACCCUAGCUUUGAUUCUGUAGAAGAGGUAUGUCCUCUAGGGGUCAGGGGGCCUGCUUAUAUAGCCCCUCCAAAUGAACGUGGGCCGUCGGAUCAAACCGACCUUAAUCGCACGGUUUUCCUUGAUCCUCAAAGGCGGUGGAGCACGAUCCGCGAGACCUGCCCUGAUUGGUCACCAGGGCAGGGCGGGCACCCAAGGGGGGAGGGCGGGCGCCCUACCCCCGGGCCCGCUCGGCCUCCAGUUCGUUCUCGUGGCUUCGGGAGUCUUCUAGAUGAUAGAAAAUUAGCGCACACAUUAAUAUCUCUAUGUAAACCCAAUGUGUGGGCCUUUCCUCCAUAUUUCUUGAUAACCCCCUGCAGAAAUAGACAAACACCAAAACUCAUAGAAUUCUGUCAGAUGAAACCAUAAUUUUGGAUGUUGGUUGCAUAUAGGUCCUUUUCCAUGAUUAGUUGAUGGUUAAAUGUGAGCUUUAAGGACCGUCAACAAGGUUUGAGCUGGCAGGCGCACGGAGGCGUAGGCCCAAGCGAGCCAGAGGCAUAUGGGGCUAGGGGAUCCAGGCAUCACGAGCCAAGACACUCCUCAGAUUCCGAGGGAAUGCCACCCCCUGUUGGCCCUCAGGUCAGACUGGACGUCCUCAACACUCGCAUGGGAGGACUGGAGCUCCAGAGUAGGCUGAUCCAAGGUACGCUGAAUGCCCACAUCCAGACUACUACCCAAUGGAAUCAGCAGACCCAGCAGAGCUUCAUCGACCUUGAGGAUGCAAGCCGUUGCUGGCACGAGGCACAAAUGGCCUACCUGCGAUCCAUGGGACAUUUUCCUAGACCGCAGCAGUGAGCUAGCUUGGGGGAGGACCCCCACAAGAGGUAACAUGUUUCUUACAUUCUUGCACUUAAUUUUAGUUCUUAAUUUCAGUAUUUAAAUUUCAGUAAUUUUUCAUCAUCUUUCAAAAAAAAUCCACUCUCAUGUGCGCUAUGAUAUGUUAGUAUCUCUUUUGUUGAAAUGAUGAAUAGUUGCUCUGUCUAUAAUCUCUAGUAUCUAAGUUAUAAUUUAGUGUUCAUCAAGAUUUAAAUUUGUUGGCUAAAAAUGUCUCAUUCUGAGAACUUGAAAUCUUGUGGGUUGCAAAUGCAUGAUCCUUUUCUAAGUUGUUGCGAGACAUGAUAUGGUAUAAAUAGAUUUUGCUAUGAUUUUGUUCUAAGAGAAAUUUGACAUCCAGAGUUUUCUUUUCAAAAAUUCAAAAUAAAGAGUUCUUCAAUGAUUAUGAAAUACCUACCAAGGCCAUAUGACUUGCUUAGUAGUUUCUACACCUUUAGUCAUAUGCGGCUUGCGGCACUUUGAGUUGAGUCAAAUCCCAGGUAUCCUAGAGUGAGAUUAUGGUCAUGCACCCAUGAUAUGAGAUUCACACACCCACCAAAUAAAGCCGACUCUCACACUGAGAAGUUGCGCACAACAUGCACCCUUCCAUCCACCAAAAAUAUUCCAACUCUUACCCUGAGAGUUGCGCCUUAGCUUCCACCAAAUAAGUAUGCCAAACUCUCACCCUGAGGUUUGCGCAUCCCCAUACACAAUUUUACUCCUUACAUCAUCAUCAUGACAUCUCUCCAUUUUCCUCUUUGAGAUCCCUUUGAAACAUGUGGGCAUCAGUUAUCCAUGAAAAAAAUGAAGGAAAAGCCAAAGGGCAUGGACAGGAAAAUCAAAAUCCCUGUCAUAAAAAAAUAUAUAUAUGGUCCAUUUUUUAGGGCCCAUAUGUUUACAUUCUCUCAUUCUCAUCCCCAAAUAAAGAGAGUCAUGAUACAAGGAGUAACCAAAAAUAUUUAGAUAGGACUACCACCAAAAAUUCCACACACUUGCACAUCUCAAUCAAGGUGUAUGACUUGUAUCUCCUCAUGGUCCGGGCUUUGACUUGGCAGCACAAGUGUCGUAAGUACGCCCACCUUUAUACCUUCCCAAAGCUCCAUUCUCAACCUUAGUGGUAGGUCUUAAAGGCAAACAGAAAUGCCUUUGGUGAGGAUUUCAUAUACGUUGAGCGAUCGAGAGAAUCAUUUGAGGAACUUAUUUAUUUUGCAAAAAUUUAUAAAACCUCCGGAUUGAUGGUCUAUCAAGGGAUGAAUGAAUGGUGAGUCUGUUACAACCAUUCAAUCUUGCAACCACCAAAGAACUUGGAAAAGCUAUAAGCCCCGUGAGAAGUCAAGGUAAAGAGUGGAUAGCAUGCGAACUUAUUUAAAUUGCGAAUGAAUGCUUUGUUAUAGGUAUGGUACUCUUGAAUUAUAUCGGCAUAGUAACAAUUCCUGAUCAACAACCAUACUUAAUUAUUUGCUCGAGACAAGAAAAGUUUAAGCUUGGGGGACUUGUUGGGAGUCAUUAUAGACCAAUUAUAAACUGCCAACUUGAUCCAAAAGGAGAAGAAGCAAUCAUAUUAUAUACACACAUGCAUUUUAUUACUAACAAGUUCCACUUGUACCAUAGUGAUAAUAUUUUGCAGGAAUUAUAGUGAAACAAGUGGAAAUGUGCCAUACCACAAAGAAAGCGCAAAGUACCAAAACAAGUAUUCAGAAAUGCGCAGACCAAGAAAAUAGAGAAAGGCCCGAACAACGCAGAACUGGGCCUGAUCGUAACCAUAGGAGAGAUCCAGGCCCAGAGCUAAACCGACCACGCGAAGGCGGUGGCCAGGGGGACUCACCCAAGGUGCGGCUGCACCCUGGUGCGGGCGCACCCCUGGAGGCGGCAAACCGGGCCUAUCUUUCUCAAGCGGUUGCAUGCCGCCAUGCAUAGGACGGUUUCACCUACUACCAAAUUUAGAUGCGACGAACCGUCCUAGUUCCACUAUAAAAGGAGAGGCACUCCCCCCAUUUCAACACACACAUCAUUUGGAGUCAAUUUACCUCACACCCCUCACUUGGAUCUUUAGUCUAGAUUAGUAGUAGAGCAAGGCAAGAGCUAGCAAGGAGAGCUUGUCUCCUUGGAAGAAAGGAUCUUCUUGGUAUAAAUAAUAUUCAAUCUUCUUCCAUGAGUGAGUUCUAUUUAUCUUUAUAUGAUUAUGCAUAUGAACUAGAGUAUGAUUGUGUUCUUAUCAUGUUCUUAGUAUAUGAACUAGUUCUUAGUUCUUGUGCUAUGUUCUUGAUAUGUUCAUCAUUGUUCUUCAUUGUUCAUUAGAUUAGUAUGAUCAGGAUUAGAAUUAGGAAUGGGAUGAUGGUUCACCGUGCUGUGAUGGUUGCUCUUAGCCUAGCCUAUCACUCCGAAGGGGUGGGGCCCGUGGGGGUUAGGAGUUGUUUCAAUUACAUGAACAUGGUGUUCAGGUAUGCGGGAAUCAGUGGAUGUGCGGGUAUCUUUCGGGUAGAGGGGUAGGUGGUAGGGUAGUGAUAGCUCUAUCAUCCUUUGCAUUCCCCCAUGAUCAGGUAUUCCGAUAGGAGUUCUGUAAAGUCUCUAUCGGCUGGGUAUCUAGUUGUGGGGAUCUCCCCUCAUCUCAGUCUUAGUUCUAACUCUAUUUGUUGCUAAUUAGAUGAUCUGCUAACAGUUCUAUGCAUAGUUAUAUGUGACCCAUGCCUGCUUAAGUAGAUUUAUUUCUUUAUUCUUUAUUUAUUAUUUCUCUUCUAUUUUAUCCUUAAGGUUGAUCAAAUGUGUGUCCACUAUCUUGAAUAUCAUUUUUAUUCCGGUUUACUCUAUGUCUACCAAGCAUUCAAUAAGUAAUCAUGUUUACACCAUGUUUGAUCCCUUUGCCUUCCUACGGGAAUUAUAAAUUCGACACCCUUAAAUACUCACGGGUUGAAAUGCUACAAUGAUAGUUUUGUCCGCUUGCAGUUAUAUUACUUCUUCAUUCAUGAACUAUCGAUUGGCGUACCUAAGUACCGUUACUUAAGAUUGUAAUCCUUGUGCACUUUCAAGCGUAGUGCCACAGCUUUGCAUCUCGCUAGUAAGGAUGGUUAGGAAGGCCAAUCCGACAUUCCUAAUUAUUGUUACCAUACUGCAUUACUAAGGUCGGCACCCUCGAGUUGGUUUGGGUUAACUCUCUGAUGUAGCGAUAGUUACGGUAUGGCAACACCUAACAUUUCUGGUGCCAUUGCUAAGGAUGGAUCUAUGGUCUAUUUUUAGUAGUGAUGCUAUGAAAUGCCAACACUAGUUAAGCAUGAUGUAUCUUAGGAAGAGCUACUCUUAGCUAAGUGUGAGAAUAGAGGGAAGAGAGUGAGGAGUUCCCCGAGGAGGAGUAUCGGCUUGUCGGGAGUUGUUGACGCCCUUUUUGGACACGUAUCUUUGGACAUGUAUCUAGGAGUUAAUGAAACGUAGAUUGGCAGGCGAAAGAGGUGAUGGGUGUUUAACAGAGGAGUUGUCGAUGGGUUAUGAUGCCGAUGACAAAACAGUAGAAUAUGACUAAGUCCAAGAAUGAUGAUUGGUCCGUGUCGAUGGCCGAUAUUGAUGGUUGCCAAUACCGAUGGAGGGUGAUUCGUCGAUGAUAGUAGAAGGGGGCGUAGGACUUGCCGAGAAUAUGACGACGGUGCUCUGACCGCCUAGGAUGGAUAAAUUAAUGUUUUCCAUAGUUAUUAGAGUUUGUUUUGUAUACAGAUUCCGUUUAGUUUGGAAUUAGAAUCCUAGUCGUGUCUGAUUGUAACUCUUUUAGACAGGGUAUAAAUAUAGACCCAGCAGCAAUGUAUGAAAAAAACACAAUCAAUCAAACACAAGUUUUUACAUCUAUUCCAGCAUCUACUUUUCGAUGACUUCGUCAACUCACAUAUUUUCCUUUUACUUACGAGUUCUUAGGAAUUCAUCGAGACAAACUCGACGAGUUCUCGAGUUCCGUGUGCAUACCUCUUGGCCAUGGCAUCUAGGCGCAUCGCUGUUGUCGAGACCAAAGUAUUCGAGUUAUCACCUUUGUCGAUUGUAAGGUCAAAUCGGCUGGCACGCCUUAACAUUGAAUCGGGUAUUAGCCCUUUGUGUUUGCAGAUCUACUUUUCCAUCAACACAUCUUUUGGCAUGCCCAGUGGGACAGAUUCAAAAUCAUCAUCAAGAUCAACAUGUUGAAUACUGAUUUGGAUACGGAGAACAUCAUUGCCGUAACUGAAGCCAACCUCAGAGAUGAGCAGAAGCAAGCUAUGGCAAAAGCUAUGGAGGAGUACAAGCAGCUAUGUUUGAAGUCCUUAGUCCUUCAGUGUCAACAGGAGCGGCGAGGUGAUCCAAAAGGAAGCAUUGCCGAUGCCUACGCAAAUCACUUUUGAAGCCAAUCCUGGUAAAUUGCAAGAGAUGGUUGACAAUGCUAUCAAUCGUGCUUUGAUUAAUCAAUCCAGUGUGUUGUCCAAUACUGUUUUCAAUGCUGUGGCUACAACUUUCAAAGAGGGACAGGUGCCACCAUCAUACGUGGGCCCUGCUUAUCAUCAGCCAGGAUCAUCAUCGGUCACCGCUCCAUCGGCUCCUCCGGCCGUUGCGGGUACAGAAGUUACCUCUCCUCCAAGUACAUUAGGGAUAACUAAUGGACAAUCUACACCGAUGAGGACUAAUCCAGCAAUAUCAGAGGGGCAAGUUCAACUAGCCACAAAUCUAUUGGCAUCGGCAAUGUCAGGAUCUGUAUUCCAGAGUUGUCAAGUUCUUCCUAAUUGGUGGGGAUAUGGUAUGCCACCAGACUUUGGUGCAAAUAGUUCUGGGACAUCUCAAGUGGCUGACGUGACAGGUAAGGCUCCUAUGACAUCGGCACCUCCAGUGUCACCGAUGACUCAGAAUCCUCAAUAUUCCACAACCACUACUGCGAGGCCUCUUACUGGAAACUUUCAGAUGCCAGCGUUCUAGAUGCCUAACGCAUCGGCGGAUCCACUGCCGACGCACCAGAGGUCUAUGACUCAGACGGGGUAUAUCAACCCAAUGAUGACACCCAACUAUCAACAAUCGGUAGGGGCUACGCCAAUGAAUGUUGAUAAUGGAUGGAUAGGGCAAUUUGUCUUCCCGCAGACAGCUCAGCAAAACCAUCAGGCUACGGGAUUCCAGUAGGGACAGAUUGUUGACGGUCCUUAAGUAUCAAAUUUAAUUAUCAAAUAAAUAAAGAAAAGGAUCCAAAUGAAAUCAAGAUCUAGACUUAGGGUUUUAUCUGACAGAAUUCCACGAGUUUUGGUGUUUGUCUAUUUCUGCAGGGGGUUAUCAGGAAAUAUGGAAGAAAGGCCCACAUGUCAGGAUUACGUAAAGAUAUUAACGUGCUGCGCAAUUAUCUUACAUCUAGAAGACUCCAGAAGCCACGAGACCGAAGCGGAGGCGAAACGGGGCCAGAGGCAGGGCGCCCGCCCUGUCCUACUGGGCGCCCGCCCCCUGCCCAAGUCCAAUCAGGACUCUGCUUUGCGGGAAGUCUCCACCGACCUAAAGGAUGAAUCUAAACCAUACAAUCUAUGUCGGUUUGAUCCAAGGGCCCAUAUUCACUUGAAGGGACUAUAAAACCAGACCCCCUGGCCCCUGGAGGAGAGAGCCUCUCAACCCUAAUUCAUUGUUCCAUCAAGGGAGAAGAAGCCCCUGAUCAUGAUUAGAGCCACCACAUCAAUUAGAUAUCUAGAUUAGCAUAGCUACAUAGGAUUAGAACUAGAAGGAGUCAAUCUUCGAUUGGUUUCCGGAUCUGUCAGGAGGAUUCUUGGUAAUUCUCUAAUUGUGCUUCUAAUUGCUUUCUAAUUAUCUUUGUUCUUCAAUAUUAUGAAUAUGACUUUGUUCUACUUCAAUAUAUUGCUUAUGACUUCGCUCUACUUGCUUAUAUUCAAGAUUAUAUUGUUCUUAGUUUAUCAUAGUUAUGUACUUGGCUUAGUUAGAUACGAUCUAUAUACAUGCUUAGGAUCGUAUAGCGUUUAUCCAUCGGAUCCAUGGGUAAAUGAUAGAUAUUGUAUAGGCGUGGUGCUUAUACCGUAUUUAUCUGCGAUUGUACCCAAUAUGCCAGAUCGUGGGGUAGUUCGUGAUAGUGACAGCUUCAUUGAUUCUUAUAUAGUCCCCCUCUCGUGUAUUGGGCUGGCAGAGCAACAUUAUUAUAGGGGAGUGAUUGCUAUGUUUCUCAUAUUCCUUGCUAAUAUCACUAUGCAUGGGCGUAGUCUUGUCUCACAAUGAUUGCUAAGUAUGCUUGCACUAACUAUGAUAUGCUAGACUAUAUAGUUAAGAAUAAAUUAGGGAAUAUUCUUGUAGUUCGUUCUAAUACCAUGCUAAUGACUUUCUAGAGUAUCUAAUUGAGGUGCUUAUCAUAUUUAUUAUGUGGCUAGAUCAGAUUAGUUAUCCUUGUCACUAUUAUUAUUUCAUAUAUCUUUUAUGUGACACUUAUCCCUGUAUGAAGAGUUAGAUAUAAUGUUCUCAAUUAUACAUGCAAUGAUAGAUGCUCAAUCUCAUAUUCUAUUCUGUAAUCAUUAGUGAUGAUUUCUAAUCCCUUCCCAGUGGUAAAAAUAUAAAUAACGAUACCUGGAAUACUUCCCGGUUAAAAUGCUACAUCGGUAUUAAUCUGUGCGCUUGCAGAUCCCAUUCAUUAUUUAUUUAGAAGAGCAAUUGCAUAUUUCAAUACCGUGUCUCUUAUAUCAUGCUGGGGAUGACAACUUGGCUUAAGUGGUGUAAGGGAUAGGUUUGGCAUUUUUGGCACCGUUGCUAGAUUUAGAGAACUUAGUCUACUUUUAGUAAUGAUGUUAAGAAUACCCAACAAGCAUUUUUGGCGCCGUUGCCGGGGAAGGUUGAUUACCAAUCAGGAAUAGAAUAAAAGAUUUUGAGUUGUCAUUCGCAUCACUAAUAUGAUUGAGCUUAUCUAUUCUCUCAUACAGUUUUACCCCGAUAUUUUUCUAUUUUAUCUUAUGCAGGGGAAUGUAUGAAUAGAAGACAUCUUCCAGGGAAUUUUGUUGACGAUCCUGAAGCACUAUUCAAGAAGACGAGAGCCAAGCUAAAGAAAUCAUCAACACUUCACGAAGAAGCUUCAUCCAAUCAAGAAGAUCACCGGAACUUGUCUUUAGAGUUCGAAGCCAUGGCGAACAAAUCAAUCCGCGAGUUCUCAGCUCCCACUACGGACAACAUCCACACUGGACCUGCUGCAGAGAUCGAUGGCAACUUUGAGCUCAAGCCUAGACUUAUCAACAUGGUGCAAUCCAACCAGUUCUGUGGGAAGGCACACGAAGAUGCUAGUGCUCAUUUACAACACUUCCUGGAGAUUUGCAACACAUUCACCAUAGCAGGAGUUUCCAAAGACGCUAUACUACUUCGCCUCUUCCCAUUCUCACUGUUAGGAAGAGCGAAGCAGUGGUUCUACGCUACAAAGGAGAAGAAUACUACGUGGGCACUCUGCUCAACAAACUUCCUGGCUAAGUUCUUUCCCAUGGGCAAGACCAAUGCUCUCCGUGGGAAGAUUACAAGUUUUCAGCAACAAAAUGAUGAAUCUGUUCCAGAAGCAUGGGAGCGCUUUCAAGACUACAUCCUAGAAUGUCCCCAUCAUGGAAUGGAGAGUUGGCUAUUGAUGCAGACGUUUUAUCUUGGGCUCAGCAACAGUGCCCGAGAGACCAUGGAUGCUGCAGCUGGAGGAGCAUUCUUAUCACUUACUAUACCACAAGCCACAGCUCUUAUGGAGAAGAUGGCGUCCAAUCAAAGCUAGAAUGAAGAGAGGACCCAGACACGCAAGAGAGGUGGAGGUAUGCAUCAGCUGAAGGAGGUAGACAUGCUGUCUGCAAAGCUAGACCUGCUCAUGAAGAAGCUCGAUGAUAGAGCUGGAGACAAGAAAGAAGUUAUGCACAUUUACGACUCUCACAUGACUUGUGAGGAGUGUGGAGACACUGGACACUCAGGCAACCACUGCCCUGAGAUACUUGAGGAUGUGAACUACAUCAUCAACAACAACAACAACAACUACAACCGUCCUCAACAAAAUCAAGGUUGGAAUCAACAGAGGCCUAACUACUCAGGUAAUUAUCAAGGUAACAAUUCUUACAACAAUAAUAAUUUUCCACCUUUGAGAGAGUUAGUGUCUAAUCAAGGAAAGCUAAUGGAUAACCUAUCUAAGAAAUUGGCAUCUAAUGAUAAAAUACUAGAAAAUAUAAAUAGUAGAAUGGAUAAUUUCUCUACUGCCAUCAAGAAUCAAAUUAGCUUCAAUAAAAUGAUUGAAUCUCAGUUAAAUCAAAUAGCUGCUGCUGUUCCUACUACUAACCCCGGUAUACCAUCACAACCGGAAGGAUUAGAAUCUGCAAAUCUUGUAGACAUGUUUGAUGCAGGUAAUUGGAGUAAGCCCGUCACUGAAUUCUCUACUGACCUUCUGCCGGUCAAGAGAGGCGAUCCAGGACGCCCCAUCAUCCCGAUUUCCAUCGGCAUGGUGGACGUUCCAGAAGCACUCUGUGACUUUGGCUCUAGUGUCAACAUUAUACCCAGGGUACUCUAUAAAAAAUUCUUUACAUAUCCUUUAUUAGAGACAACCAUGUGUUUGCAGUUUGCAGAUCAGACGAUAACUUUUCCAAAAGGAAUAGUGAGGAACCUUUGUGUCCGAGUUGGUACCUUGUAUGCACCAGCAGACUUCGUAGUGGUAGAGACCGGAAAUGAUGAGAGAGCACCUAUCAUCUUAGGGAGGCCAUUCUUGAACACCACGGGAGCUAUCAUCUACGCCAGUGCUGCUAAGAUCAGUUUCUACAUCAAAGGGAAGAAGGAGACAUUUUUCUUCAAGAACAAGACUACACAAAUUCCAAAUCAAUCCAGACGUGAAUCAAGGAAGAGGACCAACAGGAGGAACAGGAACAAGCAAGUGUGGACCGAGUCAGCUAAGAUGGUCACUGUAGUCCAUGGAGGCCAAGAUCACCAACUGAAGUCACCGUUUUUGACCAAGAAGGACGACCCAGGAAUGCCAAGCAUUUACUGCUCCAUAAAUGGAUAUAACUUCCACAAGACGAUUUGCGACACCGGAUCAGGCGUCAACAUAAUGGCCGCAGUCACCUAUCGGCUCUUGUUCGGGACCAUGCCACUAAGACCAACAUACAUUCAGCUCCAGAUGGCAGAUCAGACAUUUCGAGAAGUUAAAGGAAUAGUAUCUGAUGUCCCAGUCAAAAUAGACGAUCACUUUGUCUACACAGACUUUCAAGUUGUUGACAUGGGAGAAGACGAGUAUGAUCCACCCAUCAUCCUUGGAAGGCCGUUCCUCAGCACCGUUAAAGCAAUUAUCUACAUUGGAACCGGAGAAGUCCAUAUGCACUUCCCCUCAGAGAAGGUACGCCGUUAUUUUACUGACCCUGACUAUAUCGUUGAAGAAUCUAAGCAGGUCAGAAAGAGACGCAACCGCAACCAGAGAAGGCAGAUCAUCAAGGACGGAUGGGCAGACUAUGAAGGAGAAGUUGUAAGGUCAGAAGACGUAGAGUUUAAACAGAAUUAUCCAGAGGAGAUUGAAGCACCGAGUCAGGUAUGGAAAAUGAAGAUAACUAUACAAGAAGAGGAGGCGCUGCCGGAAAUGCCGACUACGCCACCCAACGAACCUCAGGACGAUUAAGAAAUUGGAGAGUCCCGUUCGGAGGACUUAAAAACACCGAACGCCUUGCCAAGAGGUAAACUUGGUAGUUAUCCUUUCUUUCAGUUACUUCAAAUAGUUUAUUUAGUUAAACAUGUUCAUGCUAUCCUAAAAAGAAAAUAAAAAUAUGAAAAACAGUAAGCCCCAUGUGAGUAUACGAGUGGCAUAAAACCCAUACAUACAUUAAGUGUGGUGGCAUAAAAAUAAAAUAAAUAUUUUUCUGCUUUAUAAAAUAAAAAUAUAAAAACAGGGAGUAAUAAUUAUUAAGGAGUCUCAAGAUGAUGAAGGCUAUAUAUUUAUGCUAACACUUAAUCAGUUCCACAAGCUUUGUUGUCUAUUUGAGCUCCACAGAAUUUAAGAAGACUAGCAGAAGGAGGACAUUCUAAUCGCUGUCAGAAUGCUGCUGACUUUCAAAUACAUCUUUGCCGCCUGCUAGCUACAUCAAGAGAAAUUACGUCAAAAUUCAGCUUGGGGGAGAGCACCCCCAUUUAUGCUUAUAUAUAUAUGUCUUUUGCUUAGUGUGUUUAAUAAAUAAAUAAAGUGGCUAUGCUAAUCUGUAUCUAAAUAAAACUUAAGCAUGGAUAUGAUGAAAAGUUGCUCUGCCUAAUUUGCAAAUUUUAAGUUCUCUCUCAAGUUUAGAUAUAACUGUUAUAAUUUAAAGCUUGCUCUAGACCUAAACUUGUGGGAUGAAAACUUGAUCUGAAGUCUAAGUUGUUAACGGAUACGAUAUGGGAAGGUUGAGCUGCUGUUUAUCUGUUCCUAGAGAUGCUAGAAUUCUGGAGAAUUUUAUCUUUGAAAAUCUUUAAAAUGUUGCAUGAUGAGUUCCUAUAUGAUGAGAGCUUAAAAUUCCUACCACAGCCAUAUAUACAUGCUUGCUAGACUUUGAGCCACACAUUUGUUAUUUACUGCUUAUGAGCAUUGAGUGUGGUCAAGCUGUGUAGACCCUUAGGAGCUUGUCAUGUGGUUAAAUCAAGAUUUCACUUGCACGUUCACUCAUAUAUGCUACUUCUACUCCGGAAGUACCAUCCACAUAUAUCCACCCAUUCCAUCUCCAGAACCACCUAAAAAUAUUCUACUCCUAAUCCGGGAGAGAAUAACCAAAAAUAUUUUCUGUUUUCCCUUGUGAAAUAAAUGCUCAAGUUAUCUUGUUACUACCACUUGCUAUAUUAUCUCAAGAGAUGAAUGCUCUAAAAAAAAGAGAAAAUAAUACGAGGAAAUAAAAAGGAGCAAGUGCUCGGAACCUCGAAAGAAAAGAAAAAGUGAGACGAGAGGUAAAAAUGGACAAGUGUCCGACAGUAGAAUUAGGGGUGCAAGAUACCCACCUGAGAGAAAAGAAAAAGAAGAGCAUCUCAUUCUCCUCAUAAAGUUUCAAAAGCAAGGAAGGUAUGUAUCCCCUCAAAAGAGCAAAGUAGAAUUAGACUUCCACCACCAUUGUUUUCACCAUUGUUAUCACCAUCAUCACCAUAUACCAUUCAUUCGCCACACAUGCACAUCUUGAUUAAACUUAUUGACUUGUUACUUUGGAUCCAUGGUUUGACUAUGCAAUAAAUGUCUUGUAAGUAUGUAUAUUUUAUCUCCCACCUAUGAGCUCCAGAUAUUAAAGCCUUAUUAGAGUAGGAUGAGAGAGAAGGUAAUGUCACUAUGCCUCAUACCACAAAUACCACAUAUCUUGAGAGAAGGCACAUACCAUCAAUGCCUUGGUAAGGAUCCAAAAAUACCACAAAAGAGAGACCUGAGAGAAUCAUACAAGGAAUCUCUGAGUUUUAUUUGAAAAUCUGCAAAAAUCCCAGAGCUAUAGCUGAUCAAGAAUAAGAGACAUGGCACUUGGCUAGACUGUUCUAUCUUUUAACCACUCAAGACAGAAGUGACAGUUACAAGUCCCAUGGUGGAGGUAAAGUAAGUAAGUUUUAAGUCUUGACAGUUUACUCUAACUCAGAGAUGAGAUCUUAUUUAAAAGCAUGUGUACCAUCAAAUUUUUAAAUAUAUUGCAACAACUUAUGAUCCAUAGCUAAGUCUAUCCUUGCUCAGGGACGAGCAAGAGGUAAGCUUGGGGGAGUUUGUUGACGGUCCUUAAGUAUCAAAUUUAAUUAUCAAAUAAAUAAAGAAAAGGAUCCAAAUGAAAUCAAGAUCUAGACUUAGGGUUUUAUCUGACAGAAUUCCACGAGUUUUGGUGUUUGUCUAUUUCUGCAGGGGGUUAUCAGGAAAUAUGGAAGAAAGGCCCACAUGUCAGGAUUACGUAAAGAUAUUAACGUGUUGCGCAAUUAUCUUACAUCUAGAAGACUCCAGAAGCCACGAGCCCGAAGCGGAGGCGAAACGGGGCCAGAGGCAGGGCGCCCGCUCUGUCCUACUGGGCGCCCGCCCCCUGUCCAAGUCCAAUCAGGACUCUGCUUUGCGGAAAGUCUCCACCGACCUAAAGGAUGAAUCUAAACCAUACAAUCUAUGUCGGUUUGAUCCAAGGGCCCAUAUUCACUUGAAGGGACUAUAAAACCAGACCCCCUGGCCCCUGGAGGAGAGAGCCUCUCAACCCUAAUUCAUUGUUCCAUCAAGGGAGAAGAAGCCCCUGAUCAAGAUUAGAGCCACCACAUCAAUUAGAUAUCUAGAUUAGCAUAGCUACAUAGGAUUAGAACUAGAAGGAGUCAAUCUUCGAUUGGUUUCCGGAUCUGUCAGGAGGAUUCUUGGUAAUUCUCUAAUUGUGCUUCUAAUUGCUUUCUAAUUAUCUUUGUUCUUCAAUAUUAUGAAUAUGACUUUGUUCUACUUCAAUAUAUUGCUUAUGACUUUGCUCUACUUGCUUAUAUUCAAGAUUAUAUUGUCCUUAGUUUAUCAUAGUUAUGUACUUGGCUUAGUUAGAUACGAUCUAUAUACAUGCUUAGGAUCGUAUAGCGUUUAUCCAUCGGAUCCAUGGGUAAAUGAUAGAUAUUGUGUAGGCGUGGUGCUUAUACCGUAUUUAUCUACGAUUGUACCCAAUAUGCCAGAUCGUGGGGUAGUUCGUGAUAGUGACAGCUUCAUUGAUUCUUAUAUAGUCCCCCUCUCGUGUAUUGGGCUGGCAGAGCAACAUUAUUAUAGGGGAGUGAUUGCUAUGUUUCUCAUAUUCCUUGCUAAUAUCACUAUGCAUGGGCGUAGUCUUGUCUCACAAUGAUUGCUAAGUAUGCUUGCACUAACUAUGAUAUGCUAGACUAUAUAGUUAAGAAUAACUUAGGGAAUAUUCUUGUAGUUCGUUCUAAUACCAUGCUAAUGACUUUCUAGAGUAUCUAAUUGAGAUGCUUAUCAUAUUUAUUAUGUGGCUAGAUCAGAUUAGUUAUCCUUGUCACGAUUAUUAUUUCAUAUAUCUUUUAUAUGACACUUAUCCCUGUAUGAAGAGUUAGAUAUAAUGUUCUCAAUUAUACAUGCAAUGAUAGAUGCUCAAUCUCAUAUUCUAUUCUGUAAUCAUUAGUGAUGAUUUCUAAUCCCUUCCCAGUGGUAAAAAUAUAAAUAACGAUACCUGGAAUACUUCCCGGUUAAAAUGCUACAUCGGUAUUAAUCUGUGCGCUUGCAGAUCCCAUUCAUUAUUUAUUUAGAAGAGCAAUUGCAUAUUUCAAUACCGCGUCUCUUAUAUUAUGCUGGGGAUGACAACUUGGCUUAAGUGGUGUAAGGGAUAGGUUUGGCAUUUUUGGCACCGUUUCUGGAUUUAGAGAACUUAGUCUACUUUUAGUAAUGAUGUUAAGAAUACCCUACACAGAUGCAGCCUGGAUUUCAGAAUCAAGGGCUAGUUAAUCAGCCGAUGAAUCUUGCUCAGCAGUUUGGUGGCCAAUAGGUUCUGGCUAAUGCUAUGCUCCCUGGAGAUCGUGUACCUCAAAGACACGUGGAAGCUCAUCAGCAGAUGCCAGAUCCACAACCCGCACAUCGGCAAGAUGUCGAUGCCUAUUGGGCCGAUAAGAUAGCCAAAGUUAUGAGAGAUCAAUUCGGGAUAAAGCCGAAGGUCAAUACUUACUCUUAUCGGACACCAUAUCCUCCUGCAUACGAUUUGAUUCCACUACCAAAUUGGUACAAGGUGCCAGAUUUCACUAAAUUCUCGGGACAAGAUGAUACAUCAACUAUGGAGCAUAUCGAUCGGUUCAUCAUUCAUUGUGGAGAAGCUGCUAACAGAGACGAAUUGAGAGUUCGAUUGUUUUCAUCAUCUCUAUCAGGAUCGGCAUUUACCUGGUUUAUUUCGUUACCUCCGAAUUCGGUAAUCACUUGGGCCGAUCUAGAGAAGUAGUUCCACAAGUAUUUUUUUUCUAGAGUUCAUGAGAAGAAACUUACCGAUUUAGUAAGGCUGAGGCAAUGCGAUGAUGAAUCGGUUGAAAGUUUUGUGCAAAGGUUGCGGAUGUUAAGAAUAAAUGCUAUAGUUUGGUUCUAGAUGAUCGGCAGCUAGCCGACUUAGCUUUCCAAGGAUUGUUGCCACAUAUCAAGGACAAAUAUGCUUCCCAAGAGUUUGAAAGUCUAAGUCACUUAGUGCAGAGGAUUUAUGAUCAAGAUAUCAAGGCUUUUGAGCCUAGGAAAGCUUCGAUCAAAAAGGUGUCAUUUGUCGAUGAGGUGACAAGUUCAGAUUCUGAUGAAGAACCAGUCAUCGGCUUGGUGAAAUGGGUGAAAAAUAAAAAGCCGAUGUUUGUCCUUUUCGCCAUAAAGAGCUAGAGAAGUUCGCUUUUGACAUCACUAAAGCCGCUAGGAUAUUAGACUUCCUAUUCCAACAAGGGCAAAUUAAGUUGUAAACCAACCAUGUGAUUCCAUCGGCAGAAGAAUUGAAGAAGAUCAAGUAUUGCAAGUGGCAUAAUGCGACAUCUCACAGCGCAAAUGAGUGCAAGGUGUUCAGACAGCAGCUGCAAUCAGCUAUAGAAUCCGGGAGGAUUAAAUUCGAUAACUCCAAAGCUCAAAAGCCGAUAAAGUUUGAUCAGCAUCCUUUCCCCACAAACAUGUUGGAUGCCAAUGGAAAAACCAAAGUCUUGACAUCGGAAGCAGCUGAGAGAAGCGCAUCGAUAGACCCCCAGUAUCAGAUCACUGCCGAUGAUGCUAAAGGUAAAGGGUUAAUCCAGGAAGGCACCAGUUCUGGAAGACCUCCUCGGUCCGGCAUUGUGAUCACUCAUAGACAGCAUCGGGAAACGUGGCAACAGCGUGAGGAUCGUUAUCACAGUCAACAAGAGGAUCGUCGCCGAGAAGAAGAAAGACGCCGACAGGUGUGGAAUCGGCAUAAAGACAAUUGGAAUUGCCCGUUCUUCAUCCACUACUGGGAGCAAAACAUCAAGUUACCGACUGUUAGAGACUGCCCUAAGUGUAAUGAUUAUAAUCGGUAUGAUAGACCAAAUCGGCGAUAUCAGGACGAUGAUCGGAGCGAGGAUGUCAGUUCAUGAUCGGCUAGGGGGCAAGCUCAGUGUGCAUGACAGGAUUGGUGAACAUGUUGGCUAUUUUCCAAGAAACCAAGAGGAGCUUGAGGAGAUGGCAAAUGCACGAGUUCCCGAUGAGUUUAUAUUUUGCAGAGAUGCUAACACUUAUCGAAUGGAAUCAAGGGUGAUUCAUAAUCAACCAGUGAGGCAACCACAACUUCCCCAGUGGUGUCCAGAGGGAUUGACAAGAACACAUAAGAGGAGGAUGCAGCGAGAGCGGCAGGAAGAACUAAGCAGGGAAGAAAAUUUUGCUAAGACUGGAGAUCAGCAGCAAUCAGACCACAAGGGAAAGGAACCAUCGACAGACAUUAACAUGGUUUUUAUGUUACCGAUGGAAUUUCUUGCACCUUUCAGUGACAAUGAGGACAUAGAUUUCCCUGAUCAGAUAGCUCAGUUGGCUCUUGACCCAAUGACAACUAUCUUUGAAAAGCCCGCUGACGAUGAAAGACAACAUCUUAAAGCUUUAUUUGUCAAAGGUAGGGUUGAUGGGCAGCCGAUAACCAAGAUACUCAUUGAUGGUGGAGCUGUUAUCAACAUUAUGCCAUAUGCAGUCUAUCGGAAACUUGGCAAAGGGGAUCAGGAUUUGACCAAGAUCGAUAUGAUGUUGAAAGAUUUUGAAGGGAAUGUGUCUCCGGUCAAGGGAGCUAUAUGCAUUGAGUUGACCAUCGGUAUCAAAACUUUGCCGACGACUUUCUUUGUCAUCAGUGGAAAGGGUGCAUAUAAUUUGUUGUUGGGGAGAGAUUGGAUUCAUGCCAAUUGUUGCAUUCCAUCUACUAUGCACCAGUGUCUGGUUCAGUGGGUAGUGUUGGGUAUUCUUAACAUCAUUACCAAAAGUAGACUAAGUUCUCUAAAUCUAGUAACGGUGCCAAAAAUGCCAAACCUAUCCCUCAUACCACUUAAGCCAAGUUGUCAUCUCCAGCAUGACAUGAGAGACGCGGUAUUGAAAUAUGCAAUUGCUCUUCUAAAUAAAUAAUGAAUGGGAUCUGCAAGCGCACAGAUUAGUACCGAUGCAGCAUUUUAACCGGGAAGUAUUCCAGGUAUCGUUAUUUAUAUUUUUACCACUAGGAAGGGAUUAGCAAUCAUCACUAUUGAUUACAAAAAAGAAUAUGAGAUUGAGUAUCUAUCAUUGCAUGUAUAAUUGAGAACAUUUAUCUAACUCUUUCAUACAGGGAUAAAUGUCACAUAAAAGAUAUAUGAAAUAAUGAAUAGUGACAAAGAUAAUUAAUCUGAUCAGCCACAUAUAAAUAUGAUAAGCACCUCAAUUAGAUACUCUAGAAAGUCAUUAGCAUGGUAUUAGAACGAACUACAAGAAUAUUCCCUAAGUUAUUCUCAACUAUAUAGUCUAGCAUUAUCAUAAUUAGUGCAAGCAUACUUAGCAAUCAUUGUGAGACAAGACUACACCCAUGCAUAGUGAUAUUAGCAAGGUAAAUGAGAAACAUAGCAAUCACUCCCCUGUAAUAAUAUUGCUCUGCCAGCCCAAUACACGAGAGAGGGACUAUAUAAGAAUCAAUGAAGCUGUCACUAUCAUGAACUACCCCACGAUCUGGCAUAUUGGGUACAAUCGCAGAUAAAUACGGUAUAAGCACCACGCCUACACAAUAUCUAUCAUUUACCCAUGGAUCCGAUGGAUAAACGCUAUACGAUCCUAAGCAUGUAUAUAGAUCCAAUCUAACUAAGCCAAGUACAUAACUAUGAUAAACUAAGAACAAUAUAACCUUGAAUAUAAACAAGUAGAGCAAAGUCAUAAGCAAUAUAUUGAAGUAGAACAAAGUCAUAUUCAUAAUAUUGAAGAACAAAGAUAAUUAGAAAGCAAUUAGAAGCACAAUUAGAGAAUUACCAAGAAUCCUCUUGACAGAUCCAGAAACCAAUCGAAGAUUGACUCCUUCUAGUUCUAAUCCUAUGUAGCUAUACUAAUCUAGAUGUCUAAUUGAUGUGGUGGCUCUAAUCUUGAUCAGAGGCUUCUUCUCCCUUGAAGAACAAUGAAUUAGGGUUGAGAGGCUCUCUCCUCCAGGGGCCAGGCGGUCUGGUUUUAUAGUCCCUUCAAGUGAAUAUGGGCCGUUGGAUCAAACCGACAUUGAUUGAAUGGUUAUCCUUGAUCCUUUAGGUCGGUGGAGAUCUCCCACGAAGCAGAGUCCUGAUUGGAGAUCUCCCGGGGCAGGAGGGUGGGCGCCCUGCCUCUGGCCCCGUUUCGCCUCCGCUUCGGUCUCGUGGCUUCUGGAGUCUUCUAGAUGUAAGAUAACUGCGCGGCACGUUAAUAUCUCUAUGUAAUCCUGACGUGUGGGCCUUUCUUCCGUAUUUCCUGAUAAACCCCUGCAGAAAUAGACAAACACCAAAACUCGUGGAAUUCUGUCAGAUAAAACCCUAAGUCUAAAUGUUGAUUUCAUUUGGAUCCGUUUCUUUAUUUAUUUGAUAAUUAAAUUUGAUAAUUAAGGACCGUCAACAAACUCCCCAAAGCUUACCUCUUGCUCGUCCCUGAGCAAGGAUAGACUCAGCUAUGGAUCAUAAGUUGUUGCAAUAUCUUUAAAAAAUUGGCGGUACACAUGCUUUUAAAUAAGAUCUUAUCUCUGAGUUAGAGUAAACUGUCAAGACUUAAAACUUACUUACUUUACCUUCACCAUGGGACUUGUAAGUGUCACUUCUGUCUUGAGUGAUUAAAAGAUAGAACAGUCUAGUCAAGUGCCAUGUCUCUUAUUCUUGAUCAGCUAUAGCUCUGGUGUUUUUGUAGAUUUUCAAAUAAAACUCAGAAAUUCCUUGUAUGAUUCUCUCAGAUCUCUCUUUUGUGGUAUUUCUGGAUCCUUACCAAGGCAGUGAUAGUAUAUGCCUUCUCUCAAGAUAUGUAGUAUUUGUAGUAUAAAGCAUAGUGACAUUGCCUUCUCUCUCACCCUACUCUAAUAAGGCUUUUAUAUCUGGAGCUCAUAGGUGGGAGAUAAAAUAUACAUACUUACAAGACAUUUAUUGCAUAGUCAAACCAUGGAUCCAAAGAAACAAAUCAAUAAGUCGAAUCAAGAUGUGCAUGUGUGGCGAAUGAAUGGUAUAUGGUGAUGAUGGUGAUAACAAUGGUGGAAGUCUAAUUCUACUUUUGCUCUUUGAGGGGAUACAUACCUUCCUUGCUUUUUGAAACUUUAUGAGGAGAAUGAGAUGCUCUUCUUUUUCUUUUCUCUCAGGUGGGUAUCUUGUACCCCUAAUUCUACUGUCGGACACUUGUCCAUUUUUACCUCUCGUCUCACUUUUUCUUUUCUUUUGAGGGUCCGGGCACUUGCACCUUUUUAUUUCCUCGUAUUUCUCUUUCUUUUUUUUAGAGCACUCAUCUCUUGAGAUAAUAUAGAAAGUGGUAGUAACAAGAUAACUUGAGCAUUUAUUUCACACGGAAAAACAGAAAUAUUUUUUGGUUAUUCUCUCCUGGAUUAGGAGUAGAACAUUUUUAGGUGAUUCUCGAGAUGGAAAUGGAUGGACAUAUGUGGAUGGUACUUCCGGAAUAGAAGUAGCAUAUAUGAGUGAACGUGCAACUGAAUCUUGAUUUAACCACAUGACAAGCUCCUAAGGGUCUACACAGCUUGACCACACUCAAUACUCAUAAGCAGUAAAUAGUAAAUGUGUGGCUCAAUGUCUAGCAAGCAUGUAUAUAUGGCUGUGGUAGGAAUUUAAACUCUCAUCAUACAGGAACUCAUCAUGCAAUAUUUUAAAGAUUUUCAAAGAUAAAAUUCUCCAGAAUUCUAACAUCUCUAGGAACAGAUAAACAGCAGCUCAACCUUUCCAUAUCGUAUCCGUUAACAACUUAGACUUU